RNAcentral lists this long non-coding RNA (62052 nucleotides) under Brassica napus (rape). RNAcentral's name for it is "long non-coding RNA (BNAP_LNC008803)". The stretch from base 39813 to 39919 matches the Rfam family "Plant small nucleolar RNA R71". The record is from RNAcentral. Lineage: Eukaryota; Viridiplantae; Streptophyta; Magnoliopsida; Brassicales; Brassicaceae.
UGGGGAUUACGAAUUCAGCAAAACCAACUAGAUUUUUCUUUUUAAAAAAUACAUUGACUAAUUAACGCAUAUCAGUACAAUUUCUUGGUGAAACAAACAUAUAAGUUUUGUGGUUUCCGGUGAAGCGGCGUGAUGUGACAGGUCUCCUUGGGACAGCGGCCUGACGUAGAGGAGAUUGGAUCCUCGGAUACGGACUCUUGGUGACUCUCUGACAGGCUAACGGCUGGUUGAGGACGGUUGUUUGACGGUCAAGAGGAGGGUUUCUGGAGGAGGUGGAGGCGAGUGGGUGUCGGGAGCGGCUUAGGCUUAUCCUCAAGCAUGUUCCGAACCGGCGAAGCCUUCCAGUCAGGUGGUUUCUUCACUGAUCUUGCACUAACUUGUUUUCUUUUCAGGUUUCGUAACGUUUGGGGGUGUCACCACCUUGUUUUCUUGGCCUUCCUUCUUGUGGAAGUGGUUAUGCUUUCCAGUUGAUGGUUCUGCGGGAGCUCCGACUAAUGGCGAUAGUUCGCUGAGGACAUGGUGCCUCUUUGAGGAAGGUUUCGGGGAGUUUUUGUUCAGCGGCGGCUGUCCCUCUCUUUUGCUCUCUUGCCAUUUUGGGGAGUUUUUGUUCAAAGUCUUCCGUUUGUUUGAACCCGUUUAUAUGUUUUCGUUUUUUUUAAUUUUACUUUCCUUUUAUGUCUUUUCAAUUCCAGUUGUCUCGUUUGUAGAAAAAAACACAAAAUAUAUUUAAUACAAAAGCCUUUAACAAAAAUCUUAUAAAUUUUGAAAAUAUGUUGAUAUAUGAAAAUGGUGCAACAAGCACCGCGUCACUGUUAACAAUAUUGUAUAUACUUAUAUUUAUUUGAAAUCAAGCAUUGUUACUAAUUUUUAUUUAAUAAAAAAAAAAUUUCAUUAACUUAUUGUGAUUUGAAAAUAUUUCUAUACAUUAGAUACUUCAUAAAUACAAAACUUAUUAUAUUUUUGUAUUUAGUGAGAAUGAUAAUUCUAAUCGUAAGAAAGUUCGAUAAUAAAUCACAAGAAAGUUAUUGUGAUAUGAAAAAUAAUAAUUUCAUUAACUUAUUGUGAUAUGAAAAAAUAUAUAUAUAUCAUAUAUCAUAUACUGUAGAUAUUUCAUAAAUACCAAACUUAUUACAUGUUUGUAUUUGGUGAGAAUGAUAAUCCUAAUCAUACAAAAGUUUGAUUAAGAAAAUCAUGAGAAAGUGUAUAUAUAGUUCUUUCAACUUUUGUAACUAUGAACAUAAAUGUGUAUGAUUUUUUACCAUGAUUAGAAUACUUAUUACAAAGUAACAUCUUAAUGUAAUUAUCCAAUAGAAGAAAAAUCUUGGAUUUUCCUCCAGGAAGGUGAGCAAAGUAUCUUGUAUAACGUCUUUUUUUGUAUGACACUUUUAACAUGCAAAACUUAUGCCAUCUUUUACUAGUGUUUUUUUCCAAUAAGAAUGCAUUCUUUAUUUGUCUUGUUCAUUUCUGUAAAGCUAUAUAAAACAAAAAUUCCACCAAAAAAUCUAUAUUAAAAUUAUACUAUAUGUAUGAUUACUAACAAUAUGAAAAUUACAAUACUCCCGCAUUCUAAAUUUAUGAUGUAACCAAUCACACUCAUAAAAUGGAUACAAAUAUUAUUCGUUCACAAUCAUGUUGGAAAUGUUUUUAGCAUAAAAGUACAAAAAAAGUUUUUGGAUUGUUCAGAAAUGUAAUUAAGACAACAAAUCAUAUUCAAAUGCAAUUUAAAAAUUGCAUGUCAGAAGAAUGCACGAGUCCACUUUUUUUUACCUUUGCUUGCUUAGACACCAUUUUUGUAAUAUGUGCUUAAAGGCAAAUGGAAAAAAUCAUCAUUACUACUGAAAGACAGUCUUCCUCUUCUUCUCCUUCCUCUUUCUCUUCUCUUCUAGAAGACUUUUCUUCCUACAUAAUUAUCACAUGAUUCAAAAGAAAAAUUGAGAUGAACAAGUAAACCCCUCCCCCUCCUGAUAGUUGAGAUCAUUAGAUCUAGUUAAUAGACAAGUCUAAACAUACGAAAGCUAAUAGACUUGUUGACUAAGUAGUUGAGCUUUACAUUAUCAUGCAUGCAACUCAUUAGGCAUAUGUAGGAUUAUAAUCCCAAGUUUCCUGAAUAAAAACCCUAAGUCUAACUAUUUCCUUUUUAAGCACCAAAACCUCAACCAAUCAAUUGAACAAACACUUGUUCAAUAUAAAACUGCAAUANNNNNNNNNNNNNNNNNNNNNNNNNNNNNNNNNNNNNNNNNNNNNNNNNNNNNCCCCUGAGUUGAUUACUUGUACCGCAAAACAUAUUAUUGAAAAAUAAGAAAUGAUAUGCAAAACAGAAGAGGGAAACCAAUAAACACGUACACAUUGAAGUUCAAGAAAAGCACAAUUGAAUUUCAUGCUCAGAAAGCAUUUGAUAGUAACACAGAAAGAUUCCAAAGUUUGUAAUUUCGAGUGAAGAAUCAGUUUAAUCUAUUAUACAUGCUUUAGUUGCAACUUGCAAGUAUUGUAUAUAUUAUAUAUAAAUUUUGGGUUUAAGAUUGAUAAAGCAAUUUUAAACCUUUAAAAGCAUUUAAAAAAUAUUGACCUAAAAAGCAGUUUUAAACUUUCACAAUCCUUAAAAUUUAUUCCUUGACCUAAGCACUUUAAGAGAGAGAGAAUGAAAUGAUUUACCUUUUGAAAGUGAUGUACUUUUCAACCUGUGGUUUCUGCUCGGAGCUAAAAGAAUACCAUUUUUCAUGAGGACAUAUGUCACUAUAGCUUCCCAAAUCUGCACACAGAAAUAGAAGAGAUUAAAGUCAGUACAUACCCUUUGCCACAACAAACGGAUAAUUCCUAUGUUUCUUUCACACCUUGAAGCAAAAUGGUUGGUUCUUCAUUGUACGACUUCAAAUUCCAGAGAAUAAGACCAUUGUCUUCCAGUUCAACAGGGUUGGUUCUAAGAGCAUCGUUAUAUUCUUGACCUAUGCAAAACAAUAAGAUUAGGUACAUUUUUAUAAAAAUCAAUCACAUGAGUUCAAAUUUAUACUUUUAGGUUGCAUUUCUAAUGCCUUUUUCUUUUCAAAAUGAACUUCUUCAGAUUCAGCAGACAUUUGCGAUAUAAUUGCAACCCGUUGUUCGAUUGUUAAUGCAACCCCAUUAUUAUCUGCUUCAGUUUUGGAAAAAUCAUCUUUUAUCUUCUGAUACAGUUCUUUCUCCUACAACAGAAAUGUUUUAGAAUGAAUCUAAGCGUUAUUAAACUUAACUGUAAAAACCUAAGUAGAUUUUUUAUGGUUACCUUAGCUUCUGCUGCAUUCAACUUUUCUUCUGCUCUCUUUUUCUUUUCAACAUAUUUAGGGUUUUCAUGGUUAUCGAUGAAAUUCCUCAUCAGCCUGAUAAAUUUAUCACAGCAUUUAAGCCCUCUUAUAUAUAUGUAUGUAUGUAUGUAUGUAUGAAUAUGUCUCUAUAACGUACGAUAUGCCAAGCGCUUCAUCGCAUAAAUAAUUCAAAAGCUUAAGCUUUUGUGAUGAAUCCAUCUCCGCAUACUCAGAAAUGCCUUUAUGAAACAUCUCAGGAGGGAAGUCAUCAAGCUUAACUUCUGAUUCCGCAAGACACUCUCCAAGAAUAGUGAACCACCUAUCAUCAGUGGCACUAAUGCCAACCGAUCUACAUUUUAUUUUAAAAAUAAAAAAACUAAUCAGAUAACGUACACAAAAUUUAUUAGAGAAAAUUUGAUACUUUUCAAGAAAAACGAUGCUUACAUUUCUCCUCUGUCUGCUAGUAUAAGAGUCAGUAACUGGAUUAUCGUCUGGGUAAGCAUAGAAUGCUCUUGGCUCGUGCUUCUUUCAGAUAGAACCUCAUGUACAACCGAAUGAGCUUGCCCGUCCCUCAAACCCAGAGCCUAUUCAUAAAGUCAUAUGAAGUGAGAGGAACUAUUAGUGAUCUUUAAUUAUAUUCAAAGGAUGAUACCUCUCUAAACGUUAAACAGAACUCUAAAAACUGAAGCACACUUCCAGCAUUUUCAGGGUGCAAGUCAACACUUGAAACAGUGAUUGAUUGGAUUCCCUGUGGUAGCUUAACCUCCGCAAGCUGAAACUCCUCUUUCUCCUUGAGAACGGGUUUGGUUCUUGCCGCAGCAUUCUCCUCGCUGCAGCCAGCAGUUGAAUCAUUUAUCCCUUCAGCACAAUUCCCUUGUCCAAUAACAUUUUCCUGCAGAUACCAAUAUCAUCAAACAAGACAUAAAAGCUAUAAUCGACACAAUACAAAGGAUCAUAGCUUCGUACCGGUUUCACCUUCCCCCUGUAAAAGUAUUUUUCAGAACCCUCUUUUUUGAGGAACUCAGAGACAUUGGAGCAACCAUUUUUCUUAGCUGUGGCUGUCAACAUCCCAGUAGGCUUCUCACCUUUAUUCUUCCUGGAAGAAAAAAGAAAACAAAAUUUAAUAAAAGUGCAUAUAUAUAUAUAUAAUGGAUGAUUUUGACUUACAUGCACUUACUACAAUUGCAAAUUUUCCUACAUCUGGGACAAACCCAAUUAUCAUUCAGCGCAACCUCCUCCCCGAUCUCUCCGUACCUAUUAAUUCGAGCCAAUACAUAUCACUAGAGCUUGCACGUUUCUCAUAACAAAAGACAUAAAUCUCAAAACAUCAAAACCAAACCUGCUCAACAGGCACUUAGGACAAAACUUCAACCCACAUGUCUUGGUUCCCUCCUUAGUCACGCAAGUUCCAACAGCAUCCGAUCUCCUGUGACGACACUGCAAAAUAAAGACCACUUAUCAAAAUAAAACUUCAAAUGACAAGACAAAAAGUUUAAUCUAAACGCAGAAUUGGACGAGUAUCCAUUUUAAGUUUCAUCAUAAUAUCAAAACAAAGACGAAGGUAUAUCACUUGGUGACAAUAUAUCGCGUCUUCGAUCGUUGCGUCAACAAUCUGCUGGUUCGUGCUUUCCAUAGCCAUACUCUAAAAAAAAGUUACUCACAAACUUGAAAACAAGUCCUUUUUUUUUCUCUCUGGAAAAUCUGAUGUUUAAGGCUUGGACUAGUUAAAUUCAGAGUAUAUAAUUUUUUUAGAUUUUAGGAUAAUAUUUGUAGAUUACUUUCCUUUUUGGCUACCGAAAACAUUUUGAAGGCCAAUAAUUUAAGAUUACAUUUUUGGAAGCUGUAUCCUCAUAAGUACAGUAAAUCUCUAUAAAUUAAUAAGCGAUAAAUUGAUAGACACUAUAAAUUACUAAUUUUCCUCGAUCUUAAAGUGAAUCAGUUCAAAAUAUAACACAAAUCGAUAAAAUAUUAAUAUAAUAAUGUUUACAAGCUUCUAUGUAAAUAUAUAGUCUCAUUAAAAUUAUAAAUUAAUAAUCUGUUUAUAUAUAUAUUUUAGAUAAGCACAAAUUAAAUAUUAUAUUGUAGGUUUUAUAUUCACAACAAAAUACCUCUAUUUUUUCAUAAAACUUCAAAUAUAUUUUGAUAAUAUUUAGUAAAAUUAUAUCGAAAGCACAUUUAAAUUCUAUAUAACAUCAAAUAUUCACCAAAUCAUAUAAUAAGACAAUAUGAAAGUCAAAUUUCUAAACUUUAAUUAAUGUAUGUACAGUCAAAUCAAAGAUUUUAUUAAGUUAUAGAUUUAUUAGUUUAUAAAAAAGAUUUCUUUUUUAGAUUUUUUCUAUCUUUGAAUAUUUUUAUUAAAAAUUACUCACAAACUUGAAAACAAGUCUUUUUUUUUCCCUCGAAAAUCUGAUGUUUAAGGCUUGGACCAGUUAAAUUCAGAGUAUAUGAAUUUUUUAGAUUUUAGGAUAAUAUUUGUAGAUUUCUUUCCUUUUUGGCUACCAAAAAUAUUUUGAAGGCCACUGAUUUAAGAUUACAUGUUUGGAAGUUGUAUCCUUAAUUAUACGUACAGUAAAACUCUAUAAAUUAAUAAUCGAUAAAUUGAUAGACACUAUAAAUUAAUAAUUUUCUUCGAUCUUAAAGUGGGCUAGUUCAAAAUAUGACACAAAUCAAUAAAAUAUUAAUAUAAUAAUUUUUAGAAAGUUCUAUGUAAAUACAUGGUCUCAUUAAAAUUAUAAAUUAAUAAUCUGUUUAUAUAUAUAUUUUUUAGAUAAAUACAAAUUAAACAUUAUAUUGUAGGUUUUAUAUUCACAACGAAAAUACCUCUAUUUUUUCAUAAAACUUCUAUAUAUUUUGAUAAUAUUUAGUAAAAUUAUAUCGAAACCACAUUUAAAUUUUAUAAAACAUAAAAUAUUCACCAAAUCAUAUAAUAAAACAAUAUGAAAGUCGAAUUUCUAAACUUUAAUUAAUGUAUAUACAGUCAAGUCAAAUAAUUUCUUAUUUUAUAAAUAGAAAUAUUCAAAGAUAGAAAAUCUAAAAAGGAAAUCUUUUGUUAUAAAUUAAUAGAUCUAAAACUUAAUAAAAUAUCAUAGUCCCAACAUUAUUAAUUUAUAGUUUUUAAUGUAUUUCAUACACAAGUAAACUUGUGAAUCACAAAUUUUUAGUCCAGUUACUGACUAUUAAAUAUUAUUUCUUUUGAACAUGAUUAAGUACUUGAUUAUUUUUGCUAUUUGAACUAGUCUUGCGGUUACACUUUUUUUUUUUUUGUUUAUUCGGUCAGGCAUUUUUGGUUUGUUCACAGUAUCACUGAAGUGAACCAGAAAAAAUUCGUUUGGUUUUCGGCUAAUUUUGGUUUUUACAAUUUUACCCAAAGUAACUGAAUUUCUUCAUCUUAACACGUUUUACACAUCCAUUGCUGUCCUACCUAAGAGACAACCGGCUGAAUACAAAACGGCAGUUCACACACAUCUCAUCACACCAUUUUUUCACACUCUUCCUCUUCAUCGUUCAACACUUUAGGACCAACCACACAACACAUAGUCUGAACCUAGCAACCAUUUAUCUAAUCCGUUUCAUGCAUCUAAUAUCCUAGUACGCAGAUCUGAACAACAUGAACAAGGAACACCGAGCAGCAAAAACAACAACACCACACGACAUCUCAGCUCGGCUGGAGGGGAUGGACGACCGGAAGCUAUCUGUUGAUGUCACGGCGGUCCGGCGCUGAGGGGAGAGAGACGCCGGCUCGGGCGCGAGGAGAGAGGGACACACAAGAAAACGAGAAAGAGAGGCCGAUGAGAGAGAGAGAGAGAGAGAGAAUAUAUGCCGGCUAGGGUUUCUAAACUCUCUCUCUCUUGUUUCUAAACUCUAUGAAACUUGCAAGGUUUUCUUUGGUUUUCUGAUGGGGAAGAAAAGAGAUGGGGAAUUUCUAUUUUCAAUAAAAAGAAAGGAAAACCCUAGGUUUAUCCCUAAUGGGACUAUGCUCAGCGGGCUUCCUUUUAAUCCAAAGUUAAAUUUGGGUUAAAGGUUUUGGGCAGUUACAAAUCUUCCAUUAUUCACUACAGGAAAUAUAUGGGUAGUAAGAGCAUCUCCAAUGUAAAACUCCAUUUUUUCCUCCAAAAUAGAGUAAAAGUGAAAAUAGAGUAAAAUUGUUCCAACCCUACACCAUUUCCCACUCCAUAAUAGAGUUAUGAACAAACAAAAAAAAGAUUACUCUAUUUAUGGAGUAAAUUACAUUAUGGAGUGAGAUAUGGAGUUGGGUUAGAGCAUUCCUUACUCCAUAUUCACUUUUACUCCAUUUACUCCAUUUUAGAGGAAAAAAUGCAGUAGGAAUGGAGAUGCCCUAAUAGCGGCCGGAAAACACUAUGAAUUCUAGCCGUUCUGACAGCACCCGUUAUAAUAGGUCCGACACUUUUAAUAGUGGUUUUCUUGUAUGCUAUAGUUAAAUUAGCAACGAUAGCUAAUGUUUCGUGCUAUUAAAUUAUUUUUAAAUUAUCUUAAAAUUUUAUUUUAAAAAAUUACAAAAUCAAACUAAUUUAAAAAAAUAAAAAAAAACUACACCUAAACAUAAUUAAAUAAUUCAAAAUUGAAUAGAAAAUUAAUUGAUAAUUAAAAGGUAAAUUUUAUUUAUUAAUUAAAAUCAAUAUACAAAUAAUUAAUGAAUACAUUAAACGAAAAAUAAAUUAAAACAUUAUACCAAAACAUAAUUAACCUAAACUAAGCCUCUGCCUGCAACCCUAAUCCUCCGCCACUAGCCUCCAGCCUCCAGAGCAUCCACCUCCUGAGUGUUGUCGUCGCAUCACCUAGUCACUGGAGUUGACUUCUAUCGAGUUGUAUGCUACAGCCAUCAGAGGGAUACUUGUAGUUGUUAAUAGAAGACCAAAAAGCACCUCAUGAACAAGCUUGUAAUAAGAACACAAAAAAAAAACAAACUUACAUCUAUUUGUGCUUGGAUAAAAUCUGUUUAAAGGCAGAGUCUUGUAGGUAUCUUUACCUCGAACAGGAAGAAUACUUGUCCUCCUCCGCCGUUGAAUUAAGAAAGAGAUAGAGAGGACGGUGGUCUGUGGGAGAGAUGGCUAUAUCAAGCAACAACUAAAGUCUGGUAGUAUCAAGAGACUUUCCGUCCCUCUUGUGUCACCAUUCAAUCCAUCAGUUUUUCCUUUUUGGUGAGUUCAUAUCCUCUUAGUCCGGCUGAGUGAUCAUUCCCUUAUUUAAGGCGUAUCAAGUGGUAUCAAAGUCACUCAACCGGUACUAUCUAUCCAUCUUCUCAUCUUUCAUUUUCUAAACACUUCAUCUUCUUCUUUUUAUCUCAAAUUUGGGCCACUACCUUACCUACCGCCAUUCUUCUAUAAUAAAAAAAAAAGAAAAAAAAAAGAAAAAGAUCUAUCAAAGAAAAAAGAGAAACAAAAGUUUGAUUUAAUUGGCUAGGUGGUGGAAGAGAAAUUCUGCUGGCUGAGGAGAAAUCCAGCCUAGGAGUAGUUAAUACAGAUUUCAAAACUAAUUAUCUUAUCUUCCUAUCUUGUGUUCAUCUCUUGUUUGCUUGGAGAAGCCAUUGAGUUACUUGAUUUGUUCUCUUAGAAGUUUGAGAGGAAAUUCUUGAGUGACCACUAAAAUCCGAAAGAAACACUUGUGUGGGAAAAAGAUGUUUGGACUUCACAAGAAGAGUAGCAACAAAAAAUCCCAACAGCAAACUAUCUUUAAAUCUUCAUCUCGAAAUUUGUUGAAUAUUUUUGAUAAUUUUGUUACUGUGCAGUAAAGGCCAAUCCUGAGAAGACCACAUAAGAUGCCAAACAAGAGGUGCAAAGUGCAGUUCAAAACGUCUAGAGAUGAAGCUGAUCAAAGGAGGCGAUUCCUUCAGUUUGAUGUGCAAGAGUUUUGUGAUAACUUUGAGAAGCAGACGUUGAAAACCCUUAGGACGCCAGCAAGAUCCAAAAGAAGAUCACAACCACACAUUCACCAGUAGCUGAACCAUCAAUAUUCAUGAAUGAAGAACCCAAAGGUAAAUCUGAAAACAACCUUGAAGAUUUAAAAGAUUUUACAUAUUUUUUACCAAUUUUUGAUGAAUAUGAUGAAGAGCUGAUUGAAAGUUUGAUCAUUUGUGAGGAUGAAUGUGAUCUUCCUUCUCCAAAAUCUGAUUUUAUGUUUGAUGAUGAAGAGACCAAUGGACUAACUUGUUUCGAACCGGGGCAUCCGAGUAGUCUUGUACUAUUUUCACAGGAUUUUGAGGAAGAGCCAUUCGACUACUCGCAUCAAGAACCGCUUCUUGGCACUAGGAGACCCAUGGACGAUGAUCUAGGUCCCAUCUUUGAUGAGAAAGACGAACUGGUUCAACCUUUGAAGCAGAAGCACCAAGCAUAACAUCCAUCACCAUGGAGAACCAACUUUGCUUUGAUCCCGACACAACUCCUACGCCUUUGUCCACAGAUAUUCAAGAGCACUGUGAGAAACUUGAUUUGAUUAAUUCUCUGUCUGAAAUGUUUGUUAAGAUCAAUUCGGAAGAUGUUAAACGUUUUAGUUUUGACAAAGUUAAAGAAUUUUGUGUUUCAAACUCUAUUUUUGAAAACAUGAUUAACUUUUUUCAACUGUUUGAACCUGAUAAAUUUUCUGAUCAAAAACAUUUUCAAAUUGGCAAUGACAUCAGUUCUAAUCUUGUUUUGAGUUUUGAUCAGUUUUUGAAACAUAGCAAGGGUUUUGAUCAUCUUGAAAAAUCACUAGAGCUUGGUUUGCAACAACCUGUUUUUUGUGCUAGAAAAUCGUUUGAUUCAUUUGUCUUCAAAGAAAAUGGUUUUGAUCUGAGUUUUUAUAAACAUGAACUGAUCAUGGUGAUUUGUUUGCAUCCACUUGUGCCUUGGACGAACUAAUGAUAUUAAGACUUUGCUAGAGCAGAAAUCACCUAGAGUUGAAACCGAUUUUUGUGAUUCUGUUUUGAAGCUUGAUAUUUUGUGUUUUGAAACUGAUAUACCUUGGCAUGUGUUGAGAUCAUUGCUUAAUAAUUGUUUUGUUUUGAGCUUUGAUGAUACUGUGGUUUACAACACAUUCUUUGAAAAACAUAUUGAGCCUUUGAUAAGUGAUUUUCAAUCUGAACUUACUCUUUUGUGUUCUGAUUUUGAGAAAGAUAGGCAUAUUUUGAAAAUGUUCAAUACUAUUUUGUGCCUUGAUACAUUCUGGCCUGUAAUGCUUACUUUGAUGUGAAUUUUGAAAGGCUGAAACGUGUGCUACAUGUUCUAGGUAUGAUCCUGGUGUUCUAGGAAAGAAACUUUGCUUUCUUAUUUGAACAAGUACAUGUUGCACAAUGAUUCUGGUAUUCUAGUUUCUAUUUUGAGUGUCGAGGAUAAACGGGUCCAGUCUCCAAGAAGUGUCAGGAAAAGAAGCAUAGGCCGUGCUUAUCAGUUUGAGAUUUAGAGAUGCAUGUACUCGAAGAAAAUGGCAUCAAAACUGCAAGGAAGUUUCUUUCCAAAAUUUUCCUUCGCUAAGUUGUACAUGUUUUUUUAAAUUCUUUUUGUCUGAUUCAUUUCCGUCUGAUACAGGUAAAAUGGAUUUGAGGUCAAAUCCUUUUCAAGAGGGAGGGAAUGAUGCGCCUCCGAUCGUAGACCCGAUCCAGGAUGAUGUGACCAUGGCUAAGACAUAUGGUUCUUCAACAAAGUACAAACCAUGAUGGAUUAAUGGCGAGCAUACUGAUCUAAAACCAGUUGAAGUGAGAGUAGAUGAGCUGGAUGAGCUGAGUGAGCUAAGUGACACUUCUUUGGAGCUGGAUGAGCUAAGUGACACUAAUUUGGAGCUGGACAAGCUAAGUGACACUACUUUGGAGCUGAGUGAGCUAAGUGACACGAGCUGGUUUAGCUGCUGGGCGAAAUGAGCCUUAUUGAGCUCAAGGAAAAGUUCAUAAAAAGUGCAAUAUGGGUUUGUUUCUUUCCAAAUCCGACCAGCCCUUUCCUCAGUCCAUUCCAAGCUCAUUUUUAUCGAGAUACCAAGAGGGAGUCAACAAAUAAGUCAUGGUCGUGGCUUGCCAAGAGUUCUUCAAAGACUAGUCAAAAUUAAACUUCUCGGUUCUAUAAAAGUCUUUAGUCUUAGUCUUUGUUUAUGUUUUCUAAAUUCUAGUUUUCCACAAUUUAUUUAUGUCUUUCUUUGACCAUUGCUACUAUAAGUAUGUAAUCUCAUUCCAUGAAAAAGACAAACUUUUUUCCCUUUUAUUGAGUUUAUCUCAUUUGUUCUUUGUAGAACACUUCUUGUUUCUUUGUAAAACAAAUAUCAAUGUAUAAAAAUAUCAGAAGAACCAAUACCCACGUGGAUGAGCAGGUCAAUCUUUUUAAUUAAACGUUUUGAUAUAUUUAUAUAAUGUUAUAAAUUAUUUAGAAAAAUAUAAAUCCUACUAUAAAUUGAUUGAGAAUACACAUAAGUGAUUUUUUAUUACGUGCUGAUCAUAAAUAAACUCUUCAAAUUGUUAUAAUUUGAUUGACCGAUGAUUUUUAAUUUUAUUUAUUAUAAUUAUAUCUAAAAGGAAUAAUUCAAAUUACCACUUUCCAAAUAAUCUACAUAAUAUUAGAAAUAAUUAUUUAUGGUAACUAAUUGUUGAAACUACGAAAGAGUAAUAAUGCGAUCAAUUUUUUUAUAUAUUUAUAAAUUACAUAAAAUAAUAAACAAAAAUGUUUAGUUGAAUUGAUAUAAUGAUUUUAUAUUCGUAUAGAAAGAAUUAUAUGUGUAUAUAAAGUAUCAUAAUAACUAUUAAUGUCUAAUAAUUCAAUGCAUACUUUAUAAAUCAUUUAUAAGAUUAUAUAUACAUUUAUAAAAUUAUUUAUAUUGGCUUAUCAGAUGUUUUAAAUUAUUAUAAGAGGUUCUAAGUCAUUUAUAGAAGCUUAUACAUUAAUUUAUAAAAUGUAUUUUGAAAAUUUAUCCUCCUAUUACAAUGUUUUGAAUUUUUUCAUUUUUAAUGGUAAAAUUUCUCAACUAUGUUUACUUAGUGUGGAAACCCUUAAACUAAAGAUCUACUGGUAGUAAUGGUAAUUAUGACAUGUUAGAGUUUAAUUCAUUAAAUAAAGUUAGUUUAGGGGGUUUUUCGUUAAAUACUUAGUUUGAGGGUUUUUACCCAAAACAAACUUAAUUGUUGGGUUUUAACGUUAAAAUUCCUUAUUCUUUCCUUAUUAUCUACUAGGAUCGGUCCGCGCUAUGCGCGGAAUGUGAUGUAUUUGCUUUUGUUAAAAAUAAAAAAAUUGUGUAAUUUUGAUAAGUAUAUUGUUUUCUUUUCUUAAGCAUUAACUUGUUUUUUUCUUAACUUUUUAAAUAUUUAUUAUGUUGCAGAAUAGUAUAAGUUAAAAAUUUCCCUAUGCACCAAUUUUUCGAAUAAUCUUUGAAAUGGUAAUUUAAAUACAUAUUUUUACUGCUAAUAUGUUUCUUAAUAAAGUUUAAAAAAAUUAGUAUAUUUUCUUUGAUAUUUUUGAAGAAUGAAUUUAUAAAUAUAUUAAUAUUAUUUCACUCACAAAUCAUUGAUUUUGAGAUUAUUAGAAAUAAGUAAAGUUUAAAUAUAUACAUGAAAAUAUAUUAUUUUUUACAUAAAAAUAUUGUAUCACCUUGUAUUAUUAUUUUUCUUUAGAAAGACUUUGCAAUAUUAGAAAAUUUAUUAUAUUUUGAAAUUUAAAUGUUAGUUACAUUUAUUAUCUUUUGAAACUUUAAUUAUGGUUUUGUUUUGUUACACACAAUUUCUAGUAGAUAAACAGAAAUAUAAUUACAUACUUUUAAAUUUUUAGUGCCUGGUCCACGCUAUGUGCAUAAUGUAAUUUAUUUUUAUUUAAGUUAUAUUUUUUUGUAAACAAAUUUUGUUUGUUCGUUAAAUUUACAAUGGAUAUUUUGUGAUGGUUUUCAGUUUAUGUCUUUUUAAGUUACAUUAAGAUACCAAUACUACAAAUAUUUAAGCGUGAAGUACAUUAUAACUUGUGAUUUGUUGGUAUUUCUGUUUUUUUUUGUUCUUUGUCUUUAUAAUAUAUGGUGUGUUAUAUACUCUUGAUCUUCUGUGGGUAUUGUAAAUUUUGUUUAUGUAGAUUUUUUAUUUUGUUGGUUGGUAAUUUGUGGGUCCUAGAUUUGUCUAACACAUGCAUGUAUAUGUUUCUACUAUUUUUUUAAUAAUAAAUAAUGAUCUAUUGUAAAAAAUUCUCUUAAAGUAUUAUUUAGGAUUUUAAUUAUUUAUUGAAAAUAAUUGCCUUCAUGUUAGAAAAAGAUAAAAAGAAACGAAUUGUUUUCAUCCAUAUAUUUUCAUUUUUGUUGUGUGUAUAUAUAGCUUACUUGGAAACGUCACCAAAUGUAGUCUAACAAAAUCUUUGAAGUAUUUGAAUUUUUCAAGAAUCAGAUGAAAUAUAAUCUGACAAAAUUGCAUUGCCGAUGGCUCUUUCAAAAGUAGCUUGUUUCUUCCAUCUAUUCCAACCACUCUUCAGUUCUUGGAAACAUCUUUCACUCAAAGCUAACAUAUAACUUAGUCAAAAAUAUUAGUUAACUAAUUAAAAUGGAAAAGUUGAUAUAUUAACUGCAGCAAAAUUACAUGACACCAAGCAUAAAGUAUCAAAAUAAAAGAACAAUAUGAGUUUGGUGUCAAGAAGGUUGCUAACACAAUUCAAGCAGACAGUCUGGUCAUGUUUUAUAUAUUAGCGAUGAAAACAUUUGUUUAGAAUGGAAUAAAAUAAUGGAUUCAAAUACUACAUUAGAGCUACAAAUAGUAUUACAGUGUGAUAUUUUAUUUUUUAAUUGUGAUACAACUCGGUUUGUUGUGUGAACAAAUAGUGGGAAAUAUUUGAGGAGCUUGACCUUCUAACCUUGAAGCUGGAAAAUGAUGAAUAGUUUUAUGCACGUCUGAUGCAUGUAUCUCAGAGACUAUAAUAUUGAUCAUAACCUUUUUGAAGCUGGAAAAUGUUGAAUAGUUUCAUUAGCAAACAGUUCAUGCAUUGUUUAUGCGUUAAGGUAGCUUACUCUAAAGACAACUCUAUCGUAUGUCGUAAUUUAUGUUAAGACACCAUGCAGGAAGACACUGUGAGAUAUAUUUGCAAUCUCCUUUUCUUUCCUUAUCCAGAGCGUUGACAAAGCAAAUGGCAUAUAUAUAUUUUCAAAUCAAUGGGAAAAUAAUUAGUAACUAAAAAGGAACAAAAAUGUUAUUUUAGUAUACAUGGUAACCACCAGUUAAUGAACUCUACACCUCUAGCUGCAACUUCGUCUGGGGAGACUCGGCUUCCACAAAAUAUCAUUGUAACUUUCAAGCAUAAGAAUCUUUCUAACAAUAUAUUAUCGGUAGAGAUAUUGAUCAGAUGUAACCAGUAUGAUGUUCUUACGUACUGUUGAAAAACGAUUGCGGGAAACAGAGCCUUGUAUUCUGUAACGCUUCUUCACCUGACACAUGGAUGAUCACUCAUAAAAAGGCUUCAAAUAAUGAUCAAUCUUAGCUCACUAUUAAGAGCUAAAUUAGUUGUGUACCAUAGUUUCUCUGCGUAGCUCAACAUGAAGGAAAGUUGGGCUGUUUAAGCAUGAAAUGGAAGGACCGUCGCUGCUCCCAGCUUUGGCCACCAUAAGCGCUGCUGCAUCCACUCCAUUAGUCUAUUCUCCACCUCCAAAUAAACCAACAGCAAUUUAUAUAAUUCUACAUUCAAUGAGUUUUACUUACUAUUGUCUCAGAGGCUAGAUUCAAGAAAACAUGCAAUAAGAAGAAACACAAUUCAAAACGAUUUUCUUACUCUAUAACGAUGUAGUCACUGGCAUUUUCCUCGAACGCAUCAUAGAAUUAUACCAGAUCGUUGUAUCCAGAUAACGCCCGUAGGUUUUAACUUAUCUUCUCACAUCCUCUAUAGAUAUUGCAGUUGUCAUCUGCCAAACAAAAAAAAACGGAUGAGCAACAGUCUAUUAUGAAUUAAGCUAACACUCAAGUAACUUGACUGCAUCUUACGAAAUCACAUAAGGAGCAUAUCGGGUGAGUUUAAAGCAUUAGAUAAACAUAGUGUAUAAACAAAGUGUAGAUUACACAAAUCAAAGAGAGCCUUACUUACAAUCUAUGAAACUCUGACCUUUUGGUGAGACAAUUGUUUAGCCCUUAGUGUCUUCAGCAAUCUUGCGAGAAGAUCGGAAAACUUGAGAUUUAAGAUCAAAAAACUUAAAACUUAAAUUAUUAUUUUUUGAGAUUUAAGAUCAGAAAACCUUGGCAUGGAGGAGAAACAUAUCCACUCCAUCAACUCCCAACCGCAUUUGACGUUUGCUUCCCAAAAUCUAAGCAGCCCACCGGUCUUUCAAUCACGAAUAAGAACAGAUGGAUUAAACUGACACAAUUCAUCGGGUCUUGUAGAGCAAUUAAGUACAUAAACUUGACACACAAUAUAUAGAUAUAUAUAGAGCCAAUAAGUGAAACUUACCUGCAAGAGUCAAUCAUUGUGUGUUAUCAAACCAUCGAUAGCCACAAAUUAUAGCCAUGUGUGUGAUUGUCGAAUGUAAAUUAGGAAGAGAAAAUCGAGGUGAGCCAAGACGGAAAAGAAGAGCAGAAAAGUAGGAACUACAGAGAACUUGGUUUGGGGUAGUGAGGGUUCGUGUGUAUGGCCCUAAACUUAUACCAAGUGGUUGAUAAAUUCAUGAAAUAUCUGGAUUUGAAAGAUGAAGAAUCAUCAGAGGUAAAAUGAAACAUUGAGAAAGAUUUUAAAGAUCAUUGAUUGAUCAAAAGUGGGUCAUGGUAACGCAAAACUCGACCUUAGAGAUCGGAGAAGAUAUGAAAGCCGAAGAGUCGGGGGGGGGGGAUCGCAAGCUGAAAGAAAUAGGUUUUGGGCUUGCGAAGGACGAGCUUAUAAUUUUUAGAAAGCCCACCCGAAAUCCAUUUCUAAUCCAGCGAUGUUCACGUGGCAAAAUCGAACUCAUCUAUUGGCUGAUUUAAAAUGAGGACGUGGACAGCCUUUCUACUCCUCAUAUAACCCUUUUAGUAUUAGAUAGAUUAUUUAAAUCCUUAUAGUGGGAUUUAUUUUAUCAAAAAUCAGUUGCAAUCAACUCACGAGAUAUCUUCUUUCCUAAUAUCAUGCAUUUAAUAUUUAAAUAUAUAUAUAUAUAGCAAGAUUUGAGUUACAAAAAUUAUGUAUAUAUUAUAAUCAGAAUAUCUUAAAAUUUUUAUUAAAUGAUAUUCUAUCUCAUAGCUGAAUUAAAAUUUAUUAGAGGAUAAUCUAUCUCAUAGCUUCUCUUGAAAACUAAAUCAUUUAGAAACUUAAACUAAUUUGCUAUAUAAAUAUCAUGCCAUCCCCGUUAGUUUCACGCAUCUAUCUUUUAAGUUUUCAUAUGUUUUUGAUCGUUCUAAUUUAAAUUCUACUUUUGUGAUCUUACGCAGAUGUAUGAUAAUCAAUAAGUAACUCAUAGAUGGAAACACCAUUACUGUUAAUUUUAUUGGGGAUUCUUCUUCUCCUUUUAUUUUUGUUCUCUUCCUCUCCAUGUUGUAUCCUUAUCUAUAUUUUUGCAUCUGUAGUGAUUCAACUAACAAAAAGAGACGACUCUGUUUAUCCAGGAACUGAUCAUCCCUUUCGAAAAAGGUAAUUCUUUUUUUUUUUAUAAAGUUAAAUCACUUAUCAAGAAUAUAAUAUAAGAUGUGUAUGCUAAUUAAGUGCAAUUUAUUUAUUGUGAGUGAUCCUCUUCGGUACGUCUGAGAGCCAAAGGUAAUCUCAAAGCUUUUUAAAAACUUUGAAACUCAUUGACGUUGUCCUAUCAAUUAUAUAAUUUGUUAUCUUUUGGGGAUUGUUUACAUCUUUAAAUAUUUUUGUUAGAAUUACCUCUUUUUUGACUCAAGGCUUAGAGAAGGAAUCCGUAAAUCAUCUCUGCUGUUACAAUGAAACCAAUGAUAAUAAAUCUCAGGUAAUUCAAAUCUCUCUUUUAUAUUUCAUGGCUGAUUUUUUUAUUGGGGUUAUGCGUGAAAUAUUUAUCUUUUCUCAAUUAUAUUUUCUGAUGUUUUAAGAUUAGUGUUAAAUGUGAUAGUUUGAAGCAUAAUGCAUUCUUAGAACACACCUCCAUGAUAAACACUUCUAUGUAAAUUGUGUCAAUUAUGUUAGUGAUUUUAGAUCUGAGUAUUGUGACUGAUGUUCCAAGAGAGAAAGCGUAUCAUCUCAAACCGAGAUUGUUGGGAAAGGUAAUUGGUUUAUAGAUGUAAUUGGAUAAUUGACAUCUAAAGGAUACAUUUUAUUAGAUAGUACCAACCAGUCCUUUUAAACCUUUUGAACUCUAACUUUUUGAACUAACAGAAUAAUCAUGUUUAACCUAUAAUUAGUUCAAAGAGAUGUAUCUAAAGGAUACACUUUAUCAGAUAUAAAUGAUACAUUUUAUUAGAUAGUACCAAGCAGUCAUUUUAAACUCAAACAAUGCCAUGUUCUGAGUUGUACACAUUGUAUUGAUUUUUUUUCCUUGCGGUGUGUAUUCAUAUAGAAGUAGUGAAGUGCAAAUAUGAAGUAAUAUCAACCAAAAUUAAGAAAAGUCUUUUAAAAGUAGAGAUAAUCACAUGGGUCUCUCUUGAACAUGACAAACAACCAGCAGUUUUGCCAAACCCGAAUUUCUUAAACAGGUUUUCUACUUUCUUUUUUCUUUUUAUUUAGUUUCACAUGAUGAAAAGUUUGAAUCACAGACUCUUGACAUUUUAAAAUUUAUAUUAUUUGUUUGUGUAAUGGUGCAGAGGUUUCAAUGAGACCGGCUUAUCGUUCUUCCAAGAAAGUAAAGGACUAUGACAAGCUUGAAGCUGAAGUGAAGAAAAAUAGAAGGAUGAUAAGCUUCAAGGAGACGCUGCUUCGAACAAGUUCUUCCGUGAGAUAUGUUUGAAUUAUGAUGAGGAUAUGAGGAGUGUUAGAGCAAAUCAUUUGUGAGUAUCUAUCUAUCUAUAUUCCUAUUUAGUCUUUCUUCUUUAAUGGAGAUUACAAUGUUUUUGGCAUUUUGAUUGACUCUUUUGCAGUUUUGAUUACUGGAAAUAUGUUGGUGCUAAAAAAAUCGAGAGCACUCUUCAUGAUGAUUUGGCGCUCAAGACAUGAGAAAUAUGAUCUUAUAUGAUGUGUGGGUUUUACUUUAAUCUAGACAAAACUCGAAGCCUUGGUCUUAAAGUUUAGUUUCUCUAUUUUAUGAACUUAAUGUACUUUGUAUUUUCCAUAACUCAUAUUGUUUAUACGAAACACUGAAAUUUUUAAUCUAAAUGUUCUAAUGUAUUUUUUGUUUAUAUAAACAUAGUAUAAAUAUUAAUAUGUAACAUCGAAUCUUUCAUAUUAACCACAUACAUGUAACAUAAAUAUUUAAUAGUUGUAAAUAUGUAAUUAUCAAUUUAAUAUUAAUGUUAAUGUCCGUAUGCGUGCAGACGGUCCACCUAGUUUUAAUUAAAAGACAUCAUUCAUACAUAAAUUUUAAACGAAAACACAGCCUUCAGAAAUUGAUAAAACAGAAAGUAUUACGAUGAUAUUGACGAAUCAAAGUGAUUUUAAAGCAAUUGGGCUCUCUUUUUUUGUUCAACAGCAAUUGGACUCUAAAAUGCUAUAUAAAGACAAAUAACUCAGAAUGUUGUUUUUGCUCUUUUUCUUUGUUGUUUUCUUUUUAAAAAGCUAAACACUAAUGUAAACCCCAGAGAGUACACAUUUGACUGAGCAGAGGUUGAUAUCAACUCGAGGAUGAAGCUGUCGUGGCUGCAUCGACCUCUUUUUUAACGCCUUUAGUGUGACGUGAGGUAGUUGCCACUGUUUUACUGCCUUUUGCUCCAUCAUCUUCUUCCUCUUCUUCAUAGUACGACCCUGAAGACCUCAUUUCCUUCACCUUCCGAAACUCAUCGUAAUGUACUCUUCUGAGUUCGUUGAAACGUGCGUUUUUCUCACCAUCCACAUCUGUGUCAUUUGCACAAAAACAGAAACAUAUGGAGAUGAGAUCAAACAAAAGAAUAAAAACAUGAAAGUUAAUAUUUUGUUUGGUUUCGAGGAGGAACACCUUCAUCAUCUUGAUCCAUCGGAUCUGCUUCAUCCUCCUCAGAAGAGCUCCAGCCACCAGAACCAGACCCCUGGCUAGUAUUCCUACUUGAGGAAGCUGCUGCCUCGUUGAGAACGUUCCUCAGUUCUUCGGCACGUUGCAUAUCAUCAACGCAUUCGUCAAACGACCUGCCUCUAGGAGACAGAGAACCUGACACAAUCAAUCAGGAAACACCAACAAAGAGAAAAGACAAAUUUUAAAUUAUGUUUCGGAUUGAAAAAUAUCACCUAGAAAGACAAAUUUUCAAAUCAAGAAACCAAUAGCGCAAGCACAAGUUUCCUCCAGAAAAGAGUAGUAAUUGUUUAGCUUCCUAGAUUCAUAUAAUAUUCACUUACACAUACUUUAGAUCUGAUUAGGUUAAGUUGACGACAAGCAUAAAUACGCAAAUUUGGCAUAAGCAUAUGGAUACUCAAAAGAGUAGCAUAGUUCACAAAUUGUGCACACACACAUAUAUAUAUAUAGACAAAAACAGAAAGCAAAAGAAAGAAAAGUAGAGAAACCAUCAUCAUCGAUCAUAGGGUGGUAGGGUGUCUUAGGUUCAGUGAUCUUCUGCCUAACAGGCUUGUUAGAUUCAAUUUCCACUAUAUUAGCUUCAUCCCAUUGCACACGCCCCCUGCCCACAAAAAUGCUGAAAUUAAAGCUCAUAGACGCUUAUGCAAGGUAAGGUUCUGAAUCAGCAAGCAAGCAAGCAAGCAAAAGAGAAAGCAGAGAAGGAGAAACGUAUACUCCAUACUAAGCUGGUUGUACUCUAUUUCCAGCUAAUCAAGCGAAUAAACAAUCCAAUCUGCUAACUUUUCAAGAUUAACAUCUUAAAGAGAAUCGAACCCUAGCUACCACUUAUUAAAGAUGGAAUUGAAGAAGAGCAUAGAGAAUGCGAAAUCGAUCCAUCCAUUGAGCAUAGUAAAUUCCGGAACUUACUUUUUUGAAUCAGCCAUCUUCUUUUAACUUCAACCAACUUUAUUUCUCGAUCGCGAAGCAAAAGUUUUGAAGACCUAGGCGGGGUGUUAAGAGAAGCAGCCGUCUGUUUCUUUGACUUUUGACUAGUAUUGUUGCUCUUUAGAUCUCGCCACGUGUCACCACGUUACAACUCGAGAUGGAAACGCGUUGGAGUAAGGGUAGUUUUGGAAUUCGGGCUUUUGAAGGGACGAAGAUCGAAUCGAAGAAGACCAACAACAACAACAGAGUUGAGUGCAAAACCAGAUCUUUCUUUCAUUCUCCUUCUCCAGAUCUUCCUCAGACAUGUAUGGAUCUUCUAAUCUGCUUUUAGGGAGCUUCUCUUUGUCCUGAUCAUGUUUCGAUAAUGCGACUGGGUGAUAGUGUGAUUCACCUUCUUUUUUUUCUAGCGAUCUACCCAUUUUUAUUUUGUUUAGAUUUGUGUUUGGACUCUGAUCUAACUUUUCGUAAUGAUUGUGUCUGGUUUUGGUUAUUUGAUGUCUCUUGCUACUUGGGGGUAAUGUGUUAGAACUAGUGUAGCAUUGUGUUUGUGUAUUCAUUUUCUUCUUGUGUUUAUACUCUGAUAAGGAAGCCAAGUUAUGUUCUUGAUUUCUCGGAGAAUGAUAUGCUGAUUCCUAGCUCCAUUUUUUUUUAAUUUUUUGGUUGGGUGAAAGAUCAAAAGGAAGUGAUGUUUUCUCUAAUGCAUGGAUUGUGGACUUACAUGUUCAGCAAAACUGAGUUCCAUGUCCUCAUUCUUGGUAUCGACAAAGCUGGCAAAACGGUAUUUAUUUUUGUAUCUCUUCUUUCAAAAAAGGCUCAUCUCUAAUGCAGUACUUGGACUGGUGUAGACGUUUCUGGAGAAGUUGAAAACGAUAUACUCAAUCUCAGAAGGUCUCCCACAUGAUCGGAUUGUUCCUACUGUUGGCCUUAAUAUUGGUCGUAUUGAAGUCGCCAAUGCUAAAAUCGUCUUUUGGGACCUUGGAGGUCAGGUUAGUUGGAAUUUGGAAAUAUUCAAUCCCUUCACUUUUUGUCUUUGUAAUCUAAUAAUAACCAUUCCUUAUGGCAGCCUGGUUUGCGUUCGAUUUGGGAGAAGUAUUAUGAAGAAGCACACGCAUUGAUAUAUUUGAUCGACGCAGCUUGCCCAUCCCGCUUUGAAGACUCAAAAUCUGCUCUAGGUGAGUUUUGCACAUUCAAGUUGACUUCAAACAGCAAUUAUGAAGCUAAUGUUAAAUUUGCCUUUCCACCAGAAAAAGCACUGCGGCACGAGGAUUUGCAAGGAGCGCCUCUUUUGAUAUUGGCAAACAAGCAAGUAAGAAACUGCAUUGCCUCCUUUUGUUUGCUUAAUAUGUUGUUUCUGAUAAGUCUUGAAUCUGGUAACCGAUGAGCAGGAUCUCCCAAAUGCUGUCUCAGCUGAGGAGCUAGACCGAUACCUGGAUCUAAAGAAACUAGACGAAAGGGUGUACAUGUUUGAAGCAGCUUCUGGAUACGAUGGGUGAGUAAAAACUGACUUUAGCUACGCGCAGGAACCUUGUAGCUCUGUUAGAGAUGCUUAAAUGUUAUUGUUUGAGCAGGCGAGGAAUCAAAGAGAGUAUAGAAUGGCUGGUGGGAGUGAUGGAGAGAAGCAAAAGAACGGAAGCAUUAAGAGCCCGUGCAGGAUAUGUUCCUGUCCCAACUUCCUAGACUUGGAAAGGAGCGCUCACAAACUCAAUUCUCAAACCAACUAAACUGUUUUCUGUGAGAAACAUUUGUAGAUAAAAAAAAAAAAAAAAAAAAAAAGGAAUGGACCAGAAUCGUGCAAUGUUUUGUGUUAGCAUCAGAUCACUUGAUAAGUAGGGCUAGUAAUAUCAUUAUUAUAUUGCCUUUACAUCCUUACCAAUGCUAUGAUUCAGAUUGAGACUUAAGGUAAUAACUUCCCAAGUUGUAAUAAAGUUUCUUGAAAACAAAGAACAGAGUACAUCAGUUUAUCUCUUCCAUAGCUUACAAGACAGGAGGAAACAGGCAGAACUAAGAAGCAAUCCAGAGGUAUCACUUUGCACUUGCAGCCUAAUUUGUUCCUGAAUCAAACAAGUAACUCAGAAAUGUCAGAGCAAGUUUGAGGCUUAAAGUUUCAGAGAAGCAAACAAGAACAGAAGAGAGAGGUUAUACCUGAAAAGAGAGGCUUAGGUCUGGUCUUAAACAAGAUCUUUGACCUUAUAAUCCCGACAACUUGCAGUUCCGUUUCUUUCUCUGAAGAACCAUCUGUGCACUUUUGAAGCUUCUUCAAAACCAACAAUGGUUUCUUCAGAGUCACCUUGGAGCCUGUGAGUUCAUGGUAACCCACCGUGAACGUGUAACUUUCCUGCAACCAUCAACAGGAUAUUCACUCCACGGCUAUCCACAGCUACGAUUGAAACGAAGACGAACUGAGUUAAAAGAAGAGAACCUGGGAGGAAUCGGAGUGACAGAGACGACCGAUCUCGAGAUUCUGAACAGAACCUUGGAACGAAGACUGAGAGUCCACGACGCCUUGGAGUUCUACGAUCGUCCACUCGCUACACCCCUCUUCUCCACACCCACACUUCACUCUAAUCUCCAUCCUCUUCCCUCCUCUUCCUCUUCUAUAUUUCUUUUUUAUAUAUAUAUGUUACUUUUUUGGCGGCAAAAAGACAGAUCUUUCGCGGGCUUCUUUGUCCGUUUUAGAUGACGUCACAAUUAUCUCUAGUAACAAGUCAAAGAAGCUUCCAUCGUUACAUAGGGAGAUAAAAAAAAACAAGAUCAUUGCAUGCGUUUACGAGCUUUUAUGAGUCUCCAGGUUCUGUCGAUAUAUCAAACUUUGUAUAUACAGAACACAAAGAAGUAGGCAUUGCACAUGGAUGAUGGAUCUUACUUUAUAUCCAUGGCGUCUUUAAACUACUAAUACUAGUACAAAGGGAAAACAACCUAGUCUUAGAUCUCCUCCAGGUUUCUCCAUGGUCUUGUUACUACACUGUUGAACUACAUAAUCACAGUUGCCUACCUUCAUGUUCCUGUCUUGCUGAUGAUGAUGUCAUCGUCAUCCCUUCAUGUUUUGGUUUUACAACCGGCUCAUUUGACCCUAUAGGGAUUGCUCCUGUCAGGGUUUUUAUAGCAAAGUCGAUACACGGGUCUUUCCAGAUAUCCAUACCCGGUGCUGAUUCACUAGACACUCCAGAGUCUGUGUUGGCAUUUUGAGGCGUCUCUGGGAGAAAUGUGACUCCUUUCUGCUUGGCAUCAGAAGAGAUUGAUGCAGUGUUGUUGGGAAGACGCAGCGUGUCUCCGGUCAGUGUUUUGAUAGCAAAGGCAAUGCAAGGAUCUUUCCAAAGAUCUGCAAGAGUUGCUGCAGAGGAGGAGGAGAAGCUGUUGGUAUUAUUACUCUUCUCCAUCACUUCUGAGCAUGUGCCUCUAACAACAGAUGAGUCAAAUAAGUUGCUGCUUAUUUUAUUUCUCCUUUGUGUGACAUUUCCGUUAUCAUAAGGAUGCGGAUGUGGAUGUGGAUGCUUUUCUUUAUUUGAUGAUGAGAUCUCAUUCGCUUUCGGACUAGUAACUUUAUUAGCAUUUGCACUCCACCGUCCCAAUCUUUUGCCUCCUGCUGUCUUCUCACGCUUUGUUGCAGAAGUUUUGCAAGAUAAUGGUGACACUGGCGACAUUUCUUCCUUCUGCUUGUAACCCUCAAGACGAAAAACUGGAUUCAGUUCCACCUGGGAUGUCACCUGUGGCAUCUUCAUCUUCUUCUUGUCUCCAGAUUUACCGAUCUUUUCUAUCUGCAUUUCCAAUUCUAAUUCUGCACUCACACGAUUCAUGCUUGUAGAAGAAGAAGAAGCAUUUGGUUUUGGAGAUGAAUGUUCAGUAUUAUAGCUUUUGGCUUCUUCCUUAGUGAGAGGUAUAUCCAUCUUUUUCAAUCCGCUGGUAACAGCAAUAGGAUCCACAGGUUGCAUGCACUUUCCGGCUGUGCCAUCAUCAGGAGGUGCUACUGGUUGAGCUUUGGUUCUUGUAUCCAGUUCAGGGGUAGGUUCAAGCUCAAUACCAGCUAAUCGUUUUGAUGCUCUUCUUGCUACAGUAUUAGCUAACUCAUUCUUCUUCACUAAACCCUUACUCCUCGUGAUCCCUUUUUCAGCAGAAUCUCUUACAUCUUCCUCCUUCAUCACAGAUCUCUUCUGUGAACUUUGUGAACUAGCACUUCUCAGUCUGGGUUUUACAUGUACGUCUACUUCCUCAGUCUCAUUUGCUUUAGUUUGGCUCCUAGUAACACGUUUCGCAAUGGGCUCAUUCACAUCUUUCUUCUUCACCAAAUCCUCAAGAACUUGUGAGGUUACACUGCUCACUUCGGAAUUCAUUUUACCUGCAAGUAUAGUAGAAUGUUGACAUUUAACAUUACUCACUCCAUAAGAGAAAGAAAGCAUUUGUGCUUACAAUUCUCAGAAUGUUCACCAGAAGAAGAAGAUGAGUUUCUUCUCCGUUUACUAUUAUUAACAUCAAUGUUCUUCUCCUUUUCCAGUAAAGCAUCAGCAGACUCCAGAAGAAGCUAAAACCGAAUGAAGAAAAAGGAUCACAAAAUCAACCAUUCAACUAUACAAUACAAAAGAAGGGAGUAAGUAACUGACAACGUUCUUGCCAUUUCCGGAAUCAUCUUCUUCAGUAUCGCUUUCCUUGAACUUGCGUGCAUAAUGCCCAAUAUUGCCAGUCUCAACAUAACGUGAUGCAGCUCUGAAGGAAGGGAAGAUAUACUCACUUUGAGGGUCAAUGAAGAACUGCAAAAAGGAAAUGUCAAAAGAGGAGUUUCCAUGUAGGAGAAAAUGCUAAAAGACACAAAGAGAGUACAAACAGGAUCUCUUCUUUUACGGCCUGAUCUGUUUGAUAUAACAAGCUUCUUGAUCCAUCCUUCAGGUAACCCUUCAGCUGCAGAUUUCUCAACUAUAACCUGUAUCACUUAGACAGAGAGACUUUUUCCUUUAAGAAAAAAACACGUAUCAAAGUCACCAUCAAAGGACCCCUUUUAAGUUAAAUUGAUUCAGUAAAGCUAAAGCAUUGCAUGCAGGAGAUGAGAAAAGAUUUCACAUUUUGCCAUGAUUACAUAAUCAUAAUAACAUGAGAAACUAAGAGUGAACGAGAUUCAAAGAAUAAGACACUGCAAAAGAGCUAAAAACAAAACCAAACAUGCAGAAGACAAGUCAGAAAAAGGGUGGAAAUCACCUUUCUCCCCUUGUUAUUUACUCUGAUUUCCACUUUCCUUUCCGCCGAUAACCCAUCAGAGAUCCCUUCUCCAUCCAUCUCUUCUCGCCUCAAAACCACUUCCUUUUUUUCUCAACUCAAAACGCCAAAACCCAUCACGAAUUCAACGUCAUCAAGAUCGGAACCCCUUUUAUUCUCUCUGUCCCUCCCUCCACUAAGCUGAAUAAUAGUACGAAAAUAGGUUUAAUGGGGAGGAAGAGAGGAAAGGGUUUACACGUGUACAAGUGAAGAGAUUCGAUGGUGUGAUUCCCGAUUUGAGAGGAACACCAAACUCAGUCCACCACCAGCAUUGCGAGUCUUCUGGACACAACAUCCACUAUUUUCUCUCUUUUUUUUUUUGUUCUUUUGUCAAACCUCUCUUCUCCUGCUAAAUUUCUCAAAUCCACUGUAAACUUUACUUCGUUUUUUCAUUUUUAUCUCUGUAAAGUUUAGUUUUUUUUUUUUUUGGAACACUGUAAACUUUAGUUAUUUGUUCCAUUUUUCAACUGUCCGAAAUGAAUAAAUCUAACACUAGAUUUAUAUAAAUAAAUAGAAAAUUUUCCUCUGUUUUGGAUUUUUUAUUUCUUUCUUUGGUCAUUGGUCAAAUUGUUUUUUGAAAAUCCUUCAUGAAUGUGUAUUUAAAAAUGCAUUCUUAGAUGUAUAUUUUGUAAAACCUUUAUGAAUAACCCGAAUAUGAAUUCAUGUCUAUUUAGUAAGAUAUUCUUGAAUAUGUAUAACAUUUUUCUAAAGUUUAGAACUUUCUGUGUAUUAUAUAUUUCUGAAUUGACUUAUAUGCAUAUCUAGAAAAAUAUUACUAAAUAUAUACUAUUUUCUAAAAUUUACGAAAAUAUUUCUAAAUAUGUAUACAAUAUUUAUAAAAUUUAGGCAAACAUUCAUAGAUGUUGUAUAAAUGAAAAUCAAAAUAUGUAAAUAUAUACUUUAGAAAUGAUUUUCUAGUUUUUAGAAAGAUGUCAUACACAUUUACAAAGGCCUUCCUAAAUAGACAUACAAGUUACAUUCAGGAAGCCUAAUUAGAUAUUUAUGAAGGCAUUCUUUAAUUUGAAAAAAGUUUUUCAAAAAAUAACUUUGAAAAAAUAUGUGCAAAUCUAUUUUUGGUGAUUUUGCCUCUUUAAUGAAAUUUAUUUUGUUCAUUUUGACACUUGUAUGCUAGUUUGAGAACAAAAAUAUAUGUUGGAACUAUUUGAGGCUAUUGUUUAAUAAGUUGAAUGUCUCUGUCAGUUAUACAUAAAUAGUUAUUUUUACGUUUUGUAUAACAAAUAAUUUUACGACAAAAUAAAUAGAGAGAAAGAAAUAUAUUGAAACACACAUAUUUGAGAUUAAAAGCUGUUACCUAAUAUAUGUACUGAAUAUUAGUUGAACAUUUUUAGAAAUAUGUAUUUUACUUAAUUAUAAUUAAGAGCUAUUUAGGUAGUUAUUCUAUAAGAAUGACAAAAUUAUCAAAAAGGAAACCAUAGGAUCAAAUGUUGGAUUUAUAGGAUGUAAUGUGUCAAAAUUACCAAUAUAAUAUGUGUAACUAACAAAUUACCCUCGAUAAACAAAAAAUAACCAACACGAUUCUAUUUGGUUUCAGCGGCAUUAAAUGUAGAAUCCGGGAAAUAUUUUAUGCAUAUACAUAUAGGUGUAUACAAAUAUGCAUGAGAUAUAUGAUGUAGUGGUUACAGUUUAUAUAAUACCCAAUAUAACCGGCUAAUGUAUAUCGCAAUUAUUCCAUAAGUUCUUGUACUUCUCCAUCUAACCUCGACUAAGAAUAAUUCGGUAAAUAGCAUUUCUCCUUUUAGAAGAACCGAAGGUAUACUAGAAAACUUAGUUAAAUACAAAUUUUAGUUGUUUCUGGUUGUUUAUGGUGAUAUCUUUGUUGAAGUUGAAACAUUAAAUAGCAACUAAUUAUUACGCCGUUUCUCAAAAUAUUGGUUUAUAUUUUCCAGAUGGUGAAGCUUGUCGUCUAUGGCGUAGUGACUGGGAAAAGGAGUGUAAUGGUGACUGAGUUUUAGUAGCAGACAAAGGUUUCGGCGUGAUGCUCAUAAAGAACGAGUCAUUUGAUAUGUUAAUAAGUAUUGUACGUAUGUGUUAUGUGUUAUAGGAGAGGAAUCUGGUGGUUGUUAGCUAUCAACUGCCGAGUGUACGCUGGUCCCAGCGGGUAGAAAGACACAUCUAAUAAGUGUUCAAACAACAUCACAUAUUGCAGUCAUAUUGACUGUCCCGUAUUGGUUCAGUUAACUUAAUUUUUGUGUCACUGUCGGUGCACAUAGCAAUGUUACGUUUUAAUAGCUGAGAGAAAUCUAUUGUUGGUAGAACGUAUUAUCAUUGAUGGGAGAAAGAUGAAUAUGGAAAACAUGCGAUGAUAGUAAGUUCAUAUUUAGUAAUAACAAACAUACGAUUUACAUGACAUACAAAAUUCCUGCAAGACUUAUGAACGAAACCAGAAUUUUUGUAGAAUGAAGGUGUUGGAAGAUAUAUUUAGCGUGGAGGAAAUGAUUAUUUUGAACCGGGUUGCCCUAGAACUGGACUAGGCCAAGUGCUCAUCCACAAAUAAUGGUGAAGAUGAUGAGAAACAAAGGAAAAGAGAUGGAUGAUGAGGAUGAAAUGGUUGAUACUCUAGGAUUUAAUGGAGUCAACACAAAACAUGUGAAUUCCAACACAACUAAGAGUAUUGAAACAAUUUAAUUAUUGUUCACUUGAUCAGGAUAAUCAAUAUUAUGUUGGUUAUGUUCUAUAUUUACCUAAUAAUGUGAAAGUGAAUAUGUACCCACUGGAGACGUAGGUUUGGACUUAAUGGUUAGAACUCAUGAUGAAAACAGAUCAACUAGCUUUGACGGUUUUGAAAAAUUAUAUAGUGUAUUGGAAGAAGAUCAUGGAGGAUUGUUUAAUGGCGUGUGGGAAAGGAACUUCAAGCAAAUGAGGGAGAAACAAUGGCAGAACAAGUUUUUUUAAUUUAUUUUGCAUAAAUGACUAAUAUCUUCGGAUAGUGAGUGGUAGGUAAAAUGGCAUAUAAAAGCAUGGCGAGCCAAGCAUAUUUGAUGUGAAUCUCUUUGUAAGUGAGAGUCUUCUUAUUCAAUAUUCUCAACACAGAUGCAAUACUAAAUUUCUUUAACAUAUCAGAUAAUAAGCGUCAAUAGGAUUUCUCCAAAAUAGAUUCUUCAUUUUUUGUUUUUGGAAACUUUGGGGUAUUUUGCACAAGACAAGCUAGUAAUGAUAUCAUAUUCUCGCAAAGAAAACCUGAUAGGUUUCUCUGAAUAUAAGAAUCACUACGCAUACUUUUUCUUAACUUUAAGCUGUCAGAAUAUAAGAUAUCGCCCUACAUGCCUAGAAUGAUAUAAGCGAGUUCAAAGAAUUUACUAAAUGGUGAGUUUCUUAUAACAUCGACCUUAUCCUCUGCCCGUGCAUUUAGAAUAUGACUGAUCCUACCUUGUUUGUAGUAUGGAUUGACCUUUACACCAACCGGUUCUUCAUCAACAUAAAGAAGCCUCUCUAAUAAAUCAAGAAUUUUUGUUUCUUCAGAAGAUACAUGGAUGCAUAAACUGAUCCUACCUUGUUUGUAGUAUGGAUUGACAUUUAGAAUAUGACUGAUCCUACCUUGUUUGUAGUAUGGAUUGACCUUUACGACAAUUCCUCUGCAAAAAAAAAAACAAAGGAAUUUAAAACUACACAACAAAAGAUAAUAUGAACUCGUGUAUAGCAUAAUUUCUGAAAUCCUAUAAGGUUCCCUUAAUAUUUUCAAAAAUUAUUUUGUACACAAUAUCAAUCAUUUUUGCAACUUCAAAAACUUUACCGCCACUAUUAGAUUCAAGAUUAGUCUUUUUAAUAGAAUAAAAACUAACUUAAGAGAAGAAAAAUGGAAAAUGAAGUAUCGGUUAUUUUGUGGAUCAGUGGAAGAAAAAUGGAAAAUGAAGUAUCGGUUAUUUUGUGAAUGUUAGGACUCGGAUUAAACAGUUUCUAAAUUUCAUUUUUCACCAAUCAGGCUUUUAUAAUUUUAAUGGUUCUAAAGUUCUCAACGCCAUUUUCUAUUUCUCUUUUAUUUUUAUUGUAAAAAUAUUUUUUUCCUCUUCUCCACAAUAACUAAAGUACUUAUUCUACUUUAUAUUAAUUUUAUUAUAAAAUUUAUUUUAAAAAAUAAUCAUUUUUUUCAUUUUAUUUUGAGAUCCAUAUUGUAUAAAUUUUGGUUUCAUAUAUGUUUUUUCUUUAUUAUUUGCGAAAUUGUGUAUUUAUAAUGAAAACUUUAAAAUAUUAUUUACUGUUUUUUUUUUAUUUUUGAUUAAUAAUUUUUAUUUUUGGUAAAAUAAUACUAACAAUUUUAACAGCAAAAUCUCUAUAGCCAAUAGUCUAAAGCAACAACCUAAAACGAAAGUUCUUACCAAUCAAACCCUAAACUGCUUAAAUGGGCUAACCCUGGUAUCAUCCCUAAUCCUUGAUUAAAAUAGAGUUAACAUAGGGCUGAGUUAAAAUAUAGCUGAGUUAAAAUAGGGUUGGGUUUAUAUUAAACAAGAGAGGGUUAGGCCUUGGCCCUUGAUUUAACUUCCCUACAAAUUUGUUGCAGAAAUGAUUAUGGUGUUCAUCUAAAGUUGAUAUUAUGUAAGAAGAUGUGGAGAUCGUGGUUGUAACAGCUGAGACCCUUAAAACAAUUUUCACUUUCCAUUUUAGGUAGAAAAUAAAUAAACUCAUGUAUUUUAAUUAUUUUUCUUUUAAAAAUGAAACAAAAAGAAGUGGCAAUAUAUGAUUGGUUGAGUGACUUAUGCUUCUUUUACAUACUAAAACACAUGUCACAUGGCGAAUCAAAUAGUGACACAUAAAAUUUGUUUACAAAAUUUUUAAAAAUAUAGCAUGUUUUGAUCUAAAAUAUCUUUUCAAAUAACUGCAAAAAAAAAAAAAUCUAAACCCUAUUUCCUAACCAUCAUCACAUGUUUAGCAUUUCCUGCUAUUUUUGAUAAGACAUUGUUAUUUUAAAAUCAUAUAAUUUGGAAGCUAAUGAAAUUUACCUGUGCCGUCGUGCGUGCUUUAGCAUGAGAGGUAAUAGAUAGGUUAUUAAUGGGAGGGGCAGGACAAGGGCAGAUAAUAUGUGUUGCAGGAGAUCUGAUUUUAAAUCUUCAUUCACUAUAAUUUAUGUUUCUAAAAGUAAAAGGCACGACAACUGCAUAUUUGAUUAUUUUUUUUGUCUUUUUGUGCAAAAGCAGUUCUCAUGCGUCAUGUUCUAGGCUUCGAAUGGUAAAAGUAGUCAAGCGGGACAAAUCAUGCAGAUCAAGCAGAACAAGUGCAGAUCAAGCGGAUCGUGCAGGAAAAAAGCAUAUCAAACCGCUCAAAUAAUUUAUUAUAUCUUAUGAAUGAAAAAAUCAGUUCAAAACUAUAGAUCAUAUAUUAAAACAAUGAAAAUUACACCUAGAUAUCUAAACAAAUAUCUUAGAUACUAUAGGAUCGGCCGAAAUGUUUUAUAAGAUACUUAUACUACUUUUAUAUUCUUUUUAGGUGAUCAAGAUUUUCUUAAGAAAAUCGGUAGGUUACACUAAUAUUGAACUUUUGGUAAAAUUUACCACCGGGAAACUCUCUACCAGUGGGUGUAAGAUAUUUGAAACGGUAAUUAGUCAAGAAAAUUAUUUGAUCGUACAACUCAAUAAAUACACGUUCUCGGUUAAGAUUUUGUUUAAAAUUGUCUUCUCUCAAUAUAUUUACAAAAUUUCAAUCAUUUACCUAUAUGUUAACUAUUUUAAAACAUAAAAAAGUAUUAACUACUUACCCUUGUUGAUAUUUAUGUAGGAAAAAUUAUAUCUUUUUCCUUUGAAAAUGUUGUGUUUUGUCGGCGAUUGAACGUCAUGCUUAUAAUUGUAAAACAACACAAACAGUAUUACUGUAAACUAUAGUUUGAGCUAAUCAUUUUACAAUAUUUAUAAAAUCAGAUAAAUAUACUUUAAAGGUAAGUGUUUGUAACAAAAUUAUUUAUUAUCAAAAAGAAAAAAAAGCAGAUCAACACCACCAAAUGUUAGCAGAUGAGAUCUGUAUGCAGAUCUCCCAUUUUUCCACAAAAAGACAAAAAUAUUGAAUUGGAUGCAGAUCCUCCACUUAAACUGCUUUUGCAAACAGAAAAACGUGAAUGGUGAAUGUAUUGCGGGAGAACUGCACGUGCAGGAGAACUGCACUUGUCCUGCCCUUCCAUUCAUAACCUUGCUUCGAAUGGUAAGCAGAUAAAAAAUACGCAGAUAAAAAAUACGUAGAUUUAACUUAAAACGCAGAUCAAGCAGAACAAAUGCAGAUCAAGCAGAUCAUGCAGAACAAAUGCAGAUCUAACUUGUUAAACGAGUUUAUCGAAUUAGUGUAUUUAACCAAAUGUUUAAAAUAAUUUUUUUAAUUAAAUAUCUAAAACGAAAAUACAAAUUCUUAUCAAUUUUUUUUUAUUAAUUUAAUAAAUACAAAGAAAUUUUAAACAUUAUAUAAAAGGUAAACACAAUUACAAAAAAAAACCGUAAAACAAUUAUCAUUCUAAUAAAUAUAUUGAAGCUUAAAAAUUCUAUAAAAUUCAUUAAAAUGAUAAAGAGUAUUCCUUGUCCCUUUAAUUAUUUUUAUAGUCCAAACUAAAAUCUAAUUAGGAUCCAAAGACGUUAAUUAGGGCUGGACAUAAAAUCUUUAACCUGAAUUUCGAACCGAACCCGAACCAAAAAAACUGACUCGUACCAAGUCCAAAAUGUAAAAAAAAAUACAUAAACGGGUUUUGUAGGGUGUUAUAAAACAUAUCUGAACCGAAAAUGUUAUUAAACAUAACCCAAACGCGUGAAAAAUAUAUGAAAAAACUGAUCUGAAUAUCCAAAUUUAUAAAAAAUAUAAAUAUUUAAAAAAAAUAUAUAUACUUAAAAUAUUAAAUUUCAUAUUUAUUUUGAUAUGAUAUCUAUCAAUAAAUAUUUAAAAUUUAAAUAAGUAUCUUAAAUACUUCAUUAUGUGUAAAUAACUAUAUAUUUUCUGUUUUCUUUUAAAUUUAAAUUUUAUUUUGGGUAUAUCCAAACCGAUCUGAUAUAAUCUGAAUCCGAAAAUUGGUUUUCAUAUCAUUUUGCUCAACCAUAAAACUAAUAUUAUUUUAUUUAUGUUAAUUAUUGUCAAUUAUAAAAAAUAAACUAUAACAUAUAUGUUUCUUUAACUAAACAUUAUAUAAUUCUUUAGUAUAAGCAUAUAUUCUUAGAUUAUAUAAAAAAUAAUAUGCAUGACUAUUUAUUAAUUAAAAACUAUAAAAUUGUGAAUAGUAAUCAACAUAUACAUAAGUUUCUAUUAAAAUAUUGAUAGAACAUAUAUUAUAUGCUUAUAAAUUUUUUAAAAAUAAAAUACUAAUAAAACGAAAAGCUGUAACAAUAUAUUAAAUGUACUUUUGAAAUGAAAUAUUAUGUGAUUUAAAAGUGAAAGAAACAAAUUAAAUGAAUAUAUUUAUUGGUAGCAGGAAAAGAAAAACAAAAACAAAUUAUUCUCAUCGGCCCUCGGCAUGUUUUUGGUGUCUUUCUUUUCUCUCUUGCAGAUCAUUAAAUCAAUGAUCAAAUUUAUUCUGCAUGCAGAUUUUUUUUUAUUUUAUGAUUUCCUUUUGUUCUUUGUUUUAAAAGUUGAAUGGAGAAAAAAAAUUGCAGGUCAAUCUGCAUUGAUAAUGGUCUAAAUAUCCACUUUUUAAAGAGGUUUACCCCUUGUUUCUCUCUUCUAACCAAUAAAAGUAUCAAAUACAGUAGAUUUAAUUCUUUUUUUGUCAACAUAUAGUCGAUUUAAUUCAAAAUACGUAUGUAUUUGGUAUAUUUUACACUUUUAUUUUCAAAAAAUAAAAAUAUAUUUUUAUUGUUAUAUAUCUAUGGGGAUUUAAUUUGUUAGCAUUAGCGUAACUUAGAGUAAUUAGAAGACUUUAGAUUUCUUUCAAAUCAUGCGUAAGACUAAUAAAAUCAUAACUCAUUAGAAAGAUGAUUGCUUCAUAGUACCAAACAAGAGAGAAGAUGAUUGCUUCUUCAGUUACAAAAAAAAAAGAUGAUCGCUUCUUGUUACUUUUUCUUUAUAAGUCAAAUUUCCCAAAAUUUACUGUUCAAACAGAUAAAAAGUUAGCAAACAGAGUAGAAGAGGGAUGAAAGAAUGAAUGAGGAUCGAAACUAAUAUGCCUUUUAAGAUAAAACAGUUAUAGAAAAACAUGGGAUCAAUUAAAUUAAAGCCUUGAAAAUAGUAACCACAUCCCGUAAUAUAAGGUUGUUUCAAAAAAAAAAAAAUUAAACAUAUGUUUUAAUUGAUGUAAAUUAAAAUAAGAUACCAUCACUUUUAUUGAAUAAGUGCUAAACGAAUACUCCCUCCGUUUUUCAAUAUAAGUCGUUUGAGAGAAACUUUUUUGUUUCAAAUUAUAUGUCGUUUUCGGUUUUCUAUGUAACAUUUAUUAAUAAUUAAUGUUAUCUGACCAAUGAUAAUAUAUCUUCUAUUUUUCUAUUAGUUGAAUUGUGGUUAGGUAAAUAAUUAAUGAUGUUUUUGUUUCGAAAAUAUAAGAAAUUAAUGUUUUUCUUAAUCUAUGUGCAUAGAUUUAAAACGACUUAUAUUAAAAAACGGAGGGAGUAUAUAGUUACCUAUUUUUUGUUAGUAUCAGUUUAUUAAUGAUGUAAAAUGUGAAUCAUUUCAAUAAAUGAUGUUAAGCAAAACGUAAAUGUAUCAAAUCUUUAAUCGAUGUAAAAUUUAUAUAAUAACAUCAGUGAUAUAUCAUGGAUUUGAUCCAUUUUCAUCUAUGGUAUAUAAAUGUUUUACUAUUUAUAUAUUAUAUAUUCUAUCAUAUUACGUAUGUUUUCAAGUUCAGAAGUAUCUUGGAAUAAAGUGAUGAUUAUGGAGCAUUUAAGAGCUUAAAAGAGAUUUCAUCCGAGAUGACCAUUAGAGGUCGAUACGAAGAAGAAGAAAUCGAUCGAUGUACAUCAUGUACCAUCGAUCGAUGACGAGACGCGAAACUUGGUUUCAGCCGACUUUCAACCCAAGGUUUCACCAAAUUACAAGAUUACCCCUGACGAGUUUUUAACCUAAUAGUUAUAUACUUGCGUAAGUGUUAGGAGGCAAGGAGAGCUUUCUUUGAGAGAGAGUUUUCAGCCACCAUUAUAUUCUUAUUUUUCAGAGGAGAGAUGAUCAUAGAGAGAUUUGUGAUUGAAACUCCAUUGAUUCAUCUAUUCUAUUUUAUUUAUCCAUAUCUUGUGUUAUGAAUUGCUUAGCUAUGUAUGAGUAGUUUACUUGUUAGAUUCAUGGUUCAAAUAGGUUAGAGGGAUUAGCCCCAACUAUAGAUUUGCUAAGUUGUGAUAUUUAUUGAUUGAUUGUUCUUAUUGCUUGUUUUAGUCUUGCUAACUAGAACAUGAACCUAGGAAUUAGCAUGUGUCAAGCAUCCUUGAUCAUCUUGUCCUGAAUCUAAUCUGUCAAGGUAGGACUACUCGAGAGAGCUAACCGCUGAUCUAGGAGACUAGUGAGCAUUAUCAACCCACGCCUAAGGCUUAGCUAGAAGCAUCGAUCGAUAUUUUCUUCUGACAAUCGAUCGAUAUUUGUGAAAAGUGUAUCAAUCGAUAUCCUUAUAGGAUCAUCGAUCGACACUUUCUUGUAAUCAAAAGUCGACAGUUGAGAUCCAAGAUCUAGUUAGUUAACCAGUGAAAAUUGCCAUCGCUGAUCACUGUGACUAAGGAGUUGAGCUCUAAUAUAUCAUGCGUGCAACUGUUAGGCAUCUAUAGGAUUAUAAUCUCCAAUACCUGAAUAGAAACCAUGCAUCUAAUAUCUUCCAAUAAGUUACACCCCCAAUCAUCUCGUUAGUCGAGCAAUAGACUUGCUCAAUUAGGAUUGAAUUUAAUUUAAAACCCAUAAAAUAACAAACACCUAGAAUUAAUAACCUUACUAGAUUUAGUAGGAUCCCUAGAUCCUUGUGGAUUCGAUCCGUAAGUAAUGCAACUGAACCUCUUAUUUGAGAGAGUAAUUCACUCAAUAGGGUAAUUUGAGUGGUAUCAAUCAGUUAUGUUAAAAUGAUAUAAAUUAUAAGAAAUUAUAUCAAUUUGGUAAACUGAUGUUAAAAUUAAUUACUAUUAACAUCAAUUAUUACAAUCGAUUCUAUAUUAUAAAUAUUUGUAUUAUUAAUAAAUAAGUAAUUUAAAAUACUAUCAUUUAUUUUUGUGAUUCCAUUUAAGUGAUACAAUUCAAUACUCUUUUUUGUAGUGAAAAGUUAAAGAGAAAAUAAAGUAAUAGAAAAAGAAAAGAACUUAAACACAUGGCAACUUUUUUUUCUCAACUCAAAACAAGAAGAAAAAGUAUAAACCAUUUUUCAAUUUUUGAAUAUUUAUGGGGGAAAAAGUAAGUAGAAUAGAUUUCACUUGAUUGGUUUAAUGGUAGCAGAAGUGAAAGUAAUUUUUGCUCCAUAAAUAUAUCGUUAUAUGUGACACACAGAGGCUACGACUGUUUUACACAUCUAGAAAUAUAUCUAAGAGGAAAACAUAUUUACUUUGAUUUCUGCUAGUAUUUGGUUGUCAUUAUUAAAAUAUAGUAAAAUUGUUUAUUUCUUCUCUCUUGGUUUAUCCACAGAAAACAUGUAUUGCGCUGAUUUAAUAUUUUUUUUUAUUAUAUUAUUUUUAUUUUUAUUUUGUCUUACAUUUUUUUGUCACCAAUCACACACAUAGUGAGAGGAAAAGUAAAAUAAUUGAUGUUAAGAGUUUUCAAGGCUCCUAAUCAAAUGUUAUAGUAUAAAAGAUUGUCGAACCAAUCCUAGGUGAUUCUAAAGUAAAGGGAAUGCAAGUUCAUGCUUAAGCUAAGUGCAAUCCGGUUUUAAAGAUGGUAUGAACUAAGAACUAAUAAGCUAAUGCAAUAAAGUAAUGAUUUUUUUCUUUCUCAAUACAAAGCAAGAGGACUCAUGGGGCUAGGCAUUUGAUCUUGGAUGAUGUAGAUCCAAUCUAAGGGUGGCAAGCUAUCAAUCAAACAUUUUCCUUAUGCCUAAACACUAAGCUAAACAAGCUCUAUCCAUAGAUGAAUGUUCUUUUGCUAAAGCAACUCAAGCAUCUAAUCCCUUAGGUUGAAUGUUACUAAAGCAAACAUGGAGAACAAGUCUAAUAGCAAUCUUAACUCCUUUAGCAACUAAUCCCUUAGGUAAAGCAAGCUAAAAGCAUUGAAGAGUUGGUUUAGGCAUUUCAUCAUACACCUUGUGGGUAGGAAAUGCCUAGAGAUCUAUUUUAGUAUGAUCAAGACUAAAAUAGCAUUGAGAACCCUCAACAAGCAAGGAAACAAGUGGAUCUAACACUAAACACCCUAGAUCUUCUCUAAUCACCCUUAAUCACCCUAGCCCAUGAAUCCAAGAUUAGUCUACUCACUAAUAGACAUGAAUAACUCCAAAACCAUGGAUGAUUCAAGGUUAAACAUGAUUAGAGAGCAAGAUAAUCAAGCAAAGAUAAGAAAUUAUGAUCAAGAUUAGAUCUUUCACCCAAAAAUGGCUUUUGAUUAGAUAGAAAACAAGAUAACCCCUAAAAUUAGGUCUAAAAAGUAUUUAUAGUGGUCUAAAAACGAGCUGGGUCGACCCAACAAGCUUGGGUUGAUCCAAGAUAAUUUGGGUAAAAAGUUGGUAAAAACAGAAGUGCAGAUUUUUCUAAGUGUCGCAGCUGGCUUUUGACAUGUCAUUUGGCCGCUGCAACAAGUACAUAUGGGGCAGGGGCGUGUGCAUUUUCCCAGCUGUUUGGCUUGGCCGCUGCAGUUGGCCGCCGGGACAGUUGGGACCUUGGCUUGUGAACCAAAAUCACCAUUCUUGUCUCUAAACCAUCUCCAAAGGUUCCAAACUCACCAAAUAGCAUCUCCAUCACCUAAUAGAGACAAAUGUCUAUGCAAUGCACCUAUAUCUACUCUAAAUGCAUCUAAAUGGACAAAUUGAGAACUAAAAUGAUUGCUAAAACUAUGCAAAAACACAAGAUAUCAACUCCCCCAAACUAGAACUUUACUUGUCCACAAGUAAACUUUCAAGGUCUAUUAGAAGAAAAGUUUGAAAAUGAGAACUCAUAACCAAAAGACACACUUUCUAACCUUCAAUGUAACAUCCUAAAGAAAACAUAUCAAAUAGCAUGAGCAACUUCCUUAGUAUACUCUAGCUUCUCUAGGCCUAUCCAUACUCUUUUGCCUCUACUCAAGUUGCAAUACUCUUUACCAACAAGUUCCUUCAAUCAGCUCUUUUCAAGAGAUGCUUAAGCUACUUGAUAUGUUUAACUAGGAUGUCAAAUUGAGUUCUAGACAUGUGUUCUUUGCAAGGUUUCUCCUAAUGCAUGAAUGCAAUCUAAAUGCUUCUAGACUCAAUCCUAAAGAUGCAAAUGAUGCAACUAAAUGCUUAUUUUUGUGAUUUUUGAAAUUUUUCAAUUUUUGUGGAUUUUCUAUGCAAAUAAUUAUGUACAAUGCAAGACUCAAUGCAAUAUCAUCAAAGAAAACAUGAUCAAAUACCUGGUAUCUCCCCCAAACUUAGUUCACACAGUCUCUGUGUUGGUAAGUUGAAAGAGAUACCCAAAAGAAAGAAUAAAUGCAAAGAAAAACUGGUAUAUACAAUGGAAAGGUUGGAGUGGUACCUCAAGCGGAGAGUGGAGGAGGAGGAUCCUUCCCACUAUCAAGAGUGAUGGUGAGGAUUUGAGAGAGAAGCUCUUGAAACUUGAUUGGAUCAUUUUGGAGCUGAGGAGUGAUGAUGGCCCUUGCACUUGAGAAUGGCUUAGACCUUCCCUUACACUUGAUUUUGUACUCAAUGACCCCAUCCUUAAGCUUCAUUGGGUGGAGAGUAAGAGUGUGAGGAGUCUUAUCAAGAGGUGGAGGAUGAGGUUCUUUCACAAUCUUCUUUCUUGUCAUGAGCAGCCUUUGUGGCUCUACUCACCUCCUUCUUUUUAGCACUUUCCAAGUGCUCAUCACACAGCUCUUUAGAGGACUCUCCAGCAAGACCUUCUUUCUUAAUACUAACCCCUUCAGCCUUGGUCUUUUCAAUGGAGGAUGCUCCACAAGUGAUUGUUCCACAAUACUCAUCAUUCAUCUUUGGGGAUUGUAGUGGAUAGGAGACAGCCUUGUUCACAUUUAGGAGUGUGACCUUCUUGUUGGCAAAGUGUAUGCAAGCUCCCACUGUUGUAAGGAAUGGAGUGUCAAGGAUCAAUGGGUCUCUCUUCUCAGUUGCCAUCUUCAGAACAGUGAGGUCUAUAGGAAUGGUGCAUUCUCCAAUCUUCAAAGGGAAAUCCUUGAUGAGACCAAUAGGAGUUGUAGAAGAGGAAUCUCCAAACUGUAGGGAAGAUGUGUUUGGCUCCAUGCUCUCAAUCCCUAGACUCUUCAUCAUCUCCAUUGAGAUCACAUUCACACUUGCACCAGAAUCAACAAGAGCAUCAUCAAAAGUGAGCUUACCAAGGUAGCAAGGCAAGGUGAACAUCCCUUGAGACUCAAGCUUAGGGAGGGACUUUGGAGGGAUUGGUGGAUCAAUCUUCAGAAUGGAGAUGUCCAAAAGCUCGGCCACUUCAGCUUGGUGGUCUAGAAUGUCCUUGAUGAGCAUCAUCUGGACAUGAGCUUCACGCAUACCCGAGAUUUCUGGAAGUCUGAUCCCAACAUCACUAAGAUCUUUCCUGAACUUGGAGAGCACCUUCUUCUGUGCUUUGGUGAGAACUCUUUGGGGGAAAGGGAGCUUAUCAUAGGGUGAUGGCUCAACCUCAGUGGCUUCCUCUAGCUUAACCUUUUUCAGCUUGUUGUCAGCUCUCUCCUCAACUUGUUUCGCAGCCUUGUGCUCAACUCUUUGCAGAUUCGUUGCUUCAACCUUCCUAGCAGCGUCCUUCACAAUUUGUGCUUCAGCUGUGGCCACAACAAAUCUCUCAACUUCUCCAAAUUCAGUUCCAAAUACCAGUCUUUCAAUCUCAUCCUCCUCUUUCUUAUGAUUACUCAGCUCAAUCUCUAGAGAAGUAGUGGAGAAAACAACAUUGCAAGACUCCUUGGGGUUCUUUUCUGGUUUCCCUGGUAGAGACCCCAUUGGCUGCUUGGAGGAUGAAGGCAUAGAAGCAACUUGACUCUCCAAAGCUUUGAGAUGAGAGGCAAGUUGCAUGUACUUGUUGUUGAGGUCAGAAUAGUUCCCAUCAAUCUUUGCAUGGAUGUUCUUGAACUCAUAAAUCAUGGUCUUCUCAUUUCUGGCCUGAAAUUCCAAGAGUUGCUUGAACAUAGAAUCCACACUUGAAUCUGGAGCUUGAGCUUGAGAAGAGCUUCCUUGAAUCUGAGGAGACUGGUUGGCUUGAGGAUAGUUCUGCUUGGCUUGGUAACCUCCUUGUUGAUUGUUGUAGUAAGGCCUUUGAUGAUAGUUGUUUUGGUACUGAAAAUUGGGCUCUUUCCUGUACCAUGUGCCAUUAGCAUUGAUGAAGCACAACUCCUCUUGGCCUUCUAAACCAUCAACAGAACUCUGGAAGAGAACCUCUGUAGAAGGUACUGAGCAAACUCUCCUUGGUGAAGCCAUGAUGUGGGCAUUGAGACCAAUAGCCCUUGAACCUCUCCCAAGCUUCACUAAAGCCCUCUAGGUUCUUCUGCUGAAAGCUAGAGAUCUCAUUCCUGAUCUUGGCCGUCCUUGAGAUAGAAAAAAACUUCUCUAGGAAUACCCUCUUGCACUCAUUACAAGUUGUGAUAGAGUCCUUGGAAGAGCCUUCUCCCACUGAUGUGCUUUGUCACCCAAAGAAAAAGGGAACAGCUUGAGCUUCAAUGCAUCUUCAGAAACACCAUUGGUCUUGGACAAGCCACAAUAUUUAUCAAACUUGUACAAGUGAUCAAAAGGGUCUUCAGCAGCAAGGCCAUGAUACUUGUUGUUCUCUCUGGUGUUAAGCAGCCCUGACUUGAUCUCAAAGUUGUUGUUCUCCACAGCUGGUGCUCUGAUUCCCAACCUAUGACCAUGAAUGUGAGGUUGAUCAUAGGCUCCAAUGGCUCUAGCUUGGCGUUGUGGAUGCUGUGGCCUAAGGUUUGCAGCUCCUUGGGCCACUCCAUCAUGAGGCUGAUUCUGAUUGUGCUCCAUUUCAAACCCCAAUCUCUGAAAGUGAGCCUGUUGCUCUUCUUCUCUUCUCUUUCUUGCUAUCUCCCUCUCAAGUGCUCUAAUGUCUUCAACUCUUGGAACUAGGCUUGAUGAACCUCUGCUCCUCAAGUUCAUACACCUGAAAUGCAAAGAGAGAGAGGAAGAAAGAGAACCAGUAACAAAAUAAAAGAAAAAAGUGACUUAGUCUCAAGCAAGUGACUAAAUCCCAAUGUCACAAUCAACCUAGAACUUGGCAACGGCGCCAAUUUGAUGUUAGGAGUUUUCAAGGCUCCUAAUCAAAUGUUAUAGUAUAAAAGAUUGUCAAACCAAUCCUAGGUGAUUCUAAAGCAAAGGGAAUGCAAGUUCAUGCUUAAGCUAAGUGCAAUCCGGAUUUUAAAGAUGGUAUGAACUAAGAACUAAUAAGCUAAUGCAAUAAAGUAAUGAUUUUUUUUCUUUCUCAAUACAAAGCAAGAGGACUCAUGGGGCUAGGCAUUUGAUCUUGGAUGAUGUAGAUCUAAUCUAAGGGUGGCAAGCUAUCAAUCAAACAUUUUUCUUAUGCCUAAACACUAAGCUAAACAAGCUCUAUCUCUAGAUGAAUGUUCUUUUGCUAAAGCAACUCAAGCAUCUAAUCCCUUAGGUUGAAUGUUACUAAAGCAAACCUGGAGAACAAGUCUAAUAGCAAUCUUAACUCCUUUAGCAACUAAUCCCUUAGGUAAAGCAAGCUAAAAGCAUUGAAGAGUUGGUUUAGGCAUUUCAUCAUACACCUUAUGGGUAGAAAAUGCCUAGAGAUCUAUUUUAGUAUGAUCAAGACUAAAAUAGCAUUGAGAACCCUCAACAAGCAAGGAAACAAGUGGAUCUAACACUAAACACCCUAGAUCUUCUCUAAUCACCCUUAAUCACCCUAGCCCAUGAAUCCAAGAUUAGUCUACUCACUAAUAGACAUGAAUAACUCCAAAACCAUGGAUGAUUCAAGGUUAAACAUGAUUAGAGAGCAAGAUAAUCAAGCAAAGAUAAGAAAUUAUGAUCAAGAUUAGAUCUUUCACCCAAAAAUAGUUUUUUGAUUAGAUAUAAAACAAGAUAACCCCUAAAAUUAGGUCUAAAAAGUAUUUAUAGUGGUCUAAAAACGAGCUGGAUCGACCCAACAAGCCUGGGUUGAUCCAAGAUAAUUUGGGUAAAAAGUUGGUAAAAACAGAAGUGCAGAUUUUUCUAAGUGUCGCAGCUGGCUUUUGACAUGUCAUUUGGCCGCUGCAACAAGUACAUAUGGGGCAGGGACGUGUGCAUUUUCCCAGCUGUUUGGCUUGGCCGCUGCAGUUGGCCGCUGGGACAGUUGGGACCUUGUCUUGUGAACCAAAAUCACCAUUCUUGUCUCUAAACCAUCUCCAAAGGUUCCAAACUCACCAAAUAGCAUCUCCAUCACCUAAUAGAGACAAAUGUCUAUGCAAUGCACCUAUAUCUACUCUAAAUGCAUCUAAAUGGAUAAAUUGAGAACUAAAAUGAUUGCUAAAACUAUGCAAAAACACAAGAUAUCAAUAAUAUGUAACGUAAAAUGGUGAAAUACAAAUAAAUAAAUAAAAUAUUAUACAUUGACAAAAAAUAAUAAAGAGAGAAAAAAUAGGAGAAAUUGCGUAACUGUUUCUUUUGUUAAGACAAAUGAGAUUUUUUUUUAACUUUUCAAGGUAUAUUCAGCUGAAAGUAACUUUAAUAUAUUUGGUAAAUAUAUUUUUACUGUAUUUAACAUGCAAAUGAGAUGGUUACCCUAUUCUACAAGAGCUUGAAUAAUAUCUGCAUGGUGGAUGGUUCAUGUACUUCAACAGCAUAGUUUAAUUGUUGUGGAUGAGUUAGGAAUGAUAAUUUGAAAAAUAUUUAACUUGGGCAUGCAUAACUUAAGACGGAGAGAACUGCCUUACAUUCAGAACUGGAAGUACUAUGAUGUACAAUAGAGAGGAUGCUACAACAUUCAACAUGUUAUAGCUUUAAGAUGAAUUGCAAGGAUAUGAUUGUGAUGAUAAAGGAGCUUCAAGCAUGGCCAAGUUUUGCGACAAAAUUGGAGGCGAUAAAGACGAUGCAAAUAUGUUUUCCAAACAUCACGAUAUCUCAUAUCCCGAGAGCGAAAAAUGAAAUUUUGAACUAUUUAGCUAAGACUGCGAGAGCUUUGAUACAUUAGUUGUCCUAUUCUGGGGUGGUUACCCGGAAUACUUCAAGUUUGAGUAAUAAAAUAACGGUUCGUUGUAAAAAAAUGAUUAAGCAGAAUAUAGAGUUAAAUAAAUUUACUCCAAUUAUUUACUCUAAAAAUGUCAUUUAAUCGUACCUACAAAGUCACAACCGUAACAUGUUUUAGUCUUUUUAUUUCAGAACAUUAAUGUUAGUUUUGAUUUAUCGGGUGAUGGCUUUUUUAUAUUUUAAUGAUGUUUUGUAAUAUUCAAUUUUUGAAAAAAAAAACUAUAAUAAAAGGUUGGGUGUUGAGUGAUGUCAGUAACAAUGUUGGUGUUAACAAAAUGAAGCAUAAAGAAAAAUUUUAUAAUCUUUUGAUAUUCGUCUUAUACAUUAUUAUUAGUUUUGUUUUAACUUUAUUUUUAGAUUUUAAAGCAGUCUUGGGUUGUUGUGAUUUACAUAUUUUAUUAGAUAUUUGUUUGAAAGUAAUAAAAUAAUGACAAAAAGUAAUGAAAAAAUAAUUCAUAUUUACUGUGUUGUUAUUCUAAAUAUUUUUUUCAAUAAAUAUAAUAUUUUUUUUAAAAAUACGAUAAAUCUUGUAUAUAUUUAUCUAGUAAAAUAUAUAAUUAUAAAUAUUUUGAAGAUUAUCAUUACUUAGAGUUACAUUUUUAUAAAACUAAAAAAUAUUUUUAAUAUCUAUAAUACUAUUUGAGAAGUCAGUUUAUUACGUGUCGCGCUCACGUCAAUUCUCACAAUAGAUCUUAUACAUUGUAACCUUAAUGAAUUAAUAAUAUUUGUUACUGUUAUAAAAAUUUCUAUUUAACUUUUAUUAAUAACUUUUUUCUUAAAUAAAAAAGGAAAAUAUCAUUAUAUUUUGAAAAUAUCUAUUAUCUAUUUUUAUUUUCUUUCAUUAUAUAUAAAUAUAUAUAUAUAUAGUAUCGGUAAUAUCUUAAAAGUAAAAAUACAUAGUAAUUUUUUGUAUUUAAAACAUGUAGUUUGACAAUAAGGAAUUUCCUUUUAUGUAAAACUCAAUGUCAUAAACUAUUUUACUAAUUGCCAUUACUAAUAUUAUCUAUUUAUAUUUAUCUUUUCAUUUUAUCAAUAUUAUUAAAUAAAAUCAUAUCAAUAUUAUAAAAUAAUUUAGUAUCAAAACUAAUAUCUUCAAAAUAAGAGAAUAGUGAUUUUUAAUAUUUAAAACAUGUGAUUUAAAAAUAAGGAAUUUUCUUUUAUAUAAAUCUCAAUUUAAUAAAAAUUCAAUUUAGUUACCAAAUCAGUAUUUACUUUAAUACACUAAAUAAAAUUAUUUUUUCAUAAUUAUAAAUUUGUAAAAUAAAAUGUAUUUUUUGGAUAAUUAAUCAAUCUUUUAUUUUAAACAAAUUCUCGCAUAAUUUUAUUCAAUUUUUUAUGUUUCUAAUUACAGAUUGUCAAGCCUAAUACAACAUGAAUGUUUCAAUAUCUAUACAAAUAAAUAAGUAAUUAUCUCAAAUCCAAUUCCAUUAACAAAUUGUUUUCUUGUGAAUGCGGUAUUUGAUAAAAAGUAAUUUGGUUAAUAUUAUGUUCCAAAACUCUAAUAAUCGAUGUGUUUUAAAAGAUUGCAAAGUUUUUUCACUUAUACAACUUCUGAUAUCAACACUUCAAAAAUUUUCUCAAAAAUUUAAGUCAGAAAAAUAUAUCGAUUUAUAAAUACAUAUUUAGAAAUUUAUGAAAAUAAACUGAAUUAAAUGAAACUAUAAAUAAUCUGAUUUAAUAUAAUUAAAAUUCAGUUGGACAAUAGGUACCAACUCAUUAUACCAAAAAAUAACUUAACCGAUCCAAAUUAUUAUACCCUAAAUCAUAUAUUUAAUUAAGAUAACGAAAUAAUGAUUUUAAAAUAAUAUUAUAUUUGUCUUUCUAUUGUAUAAACUACAAGACAAUUUAAAACUUAUCAAUAAAUAGAAGUAAUAAGUUAAUCAAUUAUAAUUAUUUUAUUAUUUUUAAAAUGAUUUUUUUCCAAAAAUUACCUUGUAAAAAAUUUAAAGAUAAAACAAGAAUAUAAUAUUGGUUUUUUUUUUGGUCAAAGAAUUUAAUAUUGCUUAUAUUUACGAAAAACACUGUAUACUAUGUUUACGGCCAAAAAAAAGAAAAAUAUAUCAACUCGAGGAGGUAAAGUGUUGGGUCCCAAAAAAAAAGAAAAGGUAAAGUGAGAAAAUAAAUCUGACUUUACAUAGAAAGACGAAAGUGCGAAAACCUUUUCAACAUCAAUCUUCUUCCUUCUCUCGAAGCCAAAACCAUGGCGCUACUACUAUGGCAAACUCUAAAAGAAGCGAUACAUGCUUACACAGGUCUCUCCCCGGUGGUCUUCUUCACCGCCCUCGCUCUCGCCUUCUCCAUUUACCAAGUCGUCUCAGGCUGGUUCGCUUCGCCUUUCGAUGAUGUUCGCCGACAUCAGAGGGCUAGAUCCUCGGCUGCAGAGGAAGCACCACCGAUUCCUCAGCCUGUUCAGGUCGGCGAGAUCACAGAGGAGGAGCUUAAGCAGUACGAUGGCUCCGAUCCUCAAAAGCCCCUUCUUAUGGCCAUCAAACAUCAGAUCUAUGACGUAACUCAAAGCAGGUCACUUUCUUUAAAUUUCACUAAUGAACACAAACAUUACCUUUCUCCUUUCUGUAAGAACUUGGACUUGCAUACAUUUAAACCCUAAAGUUGUUCACUUUGAAGAUUUGUUUCGUUAGUAAAGAUUUAUCCUUUUUCUAAAUUCAUAUUGUUGUUUUUGCAUAGAGUACUGUUGUUGAUGUCUGCUAGGGAUUUGGAUUGUUUUUUUCUUUCUCAAAACUCUUAACUCAUGUUCGAACUUUUGAUUUAAUCUUAGACUGAUUUGUUUUGUUUUAUAUUCAUUUCUUUAUUGGUUUAUAGGAUGUUCUAUGGACCAGGAGGGCCAUAUGCUUUGUUUGCAGGGAAAGACGCAAGCCGAGCGCUUGCAAAGAUGUCGUUUGAGGAGAAAGAUCUGACUUGGGAUAUCUCUGGUCUUGGUCCCUUUGAGCUUGAAGCUCUUCAGGACUGGGAGUACAAGUUCAACAGCAAGUAUGCCACUGUUGGCACUGUCAAAGUGACCGUUUCAGAAGCUGAAACUGCAUCUGUGUCUGAACCCGCAGAGACUGAUGACGGAGACGCUCAUGUAAUCAAGCAAGAACCGACAGUUGUUGAUAAGAAUCUUGAGACUCCUGCUGAGAGUGAUGUGAAGAACGAGUAGAUUCUGUUUCCGUGAUUUACUCUGAUGAUGUUGAAGUUUCAAUGAUAUAAUCUUUGUUUCAUUACCUCAAAAACCGAGUUUGCUGGUUAAUAAAGUAUUUAUAAAAUGCUCGAUCACAUAGUGUUUGAAUAUUGCAUUGCAAAAUUACAAGGUGGUGGACAUAUAUGCUUUGUUUGCAGGGAAAGAUGCAAACCGUGAUCUUCCAAAGAUGAAGAAAAAUAUUUGACGUAAUUGAGAUAUGUAUCUCCGGUUUUUCUCCUUUAUUCAUUUCAGGACUGGAAGUACAAUCAUGAGCAAGUAUGUCAAGGUUGGUGAUUCAGCAGCAUCUCUACUAUUGGCGCCAACAUGAUAAUUAUUCAAAUUAUAUAAACAGAGCUUACGCUCUCAUAUUAAUCAGACUUUUGAUAAGAAACUUAAAGUUUUGCUUCUUCAUUGUGUGAUCCAUUAAAUUCAUCUCUAGAGAAGUUGGUUUCAAAGAAGCAAUCGCGAGAAACUUUUUGAUCAAUCCAAGAACAGGUUUCUAAAACCCUAAAUGUUCUCAGCAACAAGCUGAUAACGAUGCCCCUACCACCCAAAAAGCUAUUGCCGACCUUCAAGCUCAAAUCACGGCUCUUGUGACUGUUGUGACUGAUCUAACGAAACAACGAGUGACCGCUGCAAUUCGCCGGGGAUGCACUGACAAUGAUUACAAUGACAAUGGUGUUGAGGAAGAAGACGAUAAAUUUUUUACAUGUCAUUUCUAUGGUCCAAUAUAUGACAGGUACGACACAGACGAUGAUGAUGAUGUUGAUAAGGAGGAGCACACAUCAAAAGACAUCUUCACUAAUUGGAACGGCGAUCCAAUACACAAUGAAUUUGAUGACGAGAACAUAGAAUUUGCAGAAGCUGAAUUUGCCCCAAUUUUUUGGAUUCUGCUUUUAAAAUCAACGUGAAGUAAGAUCUCAAAGAAGAGCUAGAAAAGCAACGCAUAAUUCUCAAAGCAUAAAUUACGAGGUGGAUGAUAAUCUGAUGGAGGAGGAGGAGGAGGAGAAUCUGAUGGAGACAGAAACUCAGAAGGCUGCAAAUGUUAAUGAAGGCAAAGAACGUCAGGCUAAUAAGAAGAAGCUUGGGAAACCAUGUGGUGCUGUGAUGGGAGGUACGCUCAAGAAGCGGCUGGUGCAGAGUGUCGUCUCUCCAAGGAAGAAACAUACGGCUAAGCAGGGUAGUAAGAUGGGGGGAGAAGGGUAUAUUACCCCCAAAGAAGGCUUCAGUCAAGGCAGAUCCUGAUCAGGAUUAAGGAGUUAACAAGUUCUCAAAAAUUUAAUGAAUAAGUGAAGGGAAAGAUCUAGUAUUCCCUUUGAAUUUCGUUUUGAUUUUGCUUUCAAUCUUUGCUAUGAGUUUCCUCUGAGGUUUUCAGGGAGUUGGAAUAAUAAAUUUAAGUGUUUUUCUUUUGUUUUGAGAUCUUAUGAGUACGGGUGGUGGUUAGAUUUGUGUAGGACUAUGCCUUCUCGGGGACUAUGGUAUUUGGUCAGUUAUUGGAGUGUCUUCUUUUCUCUGGUUAAGAGAUACAUGGGAUCUUGGUCUUUGUUUAUUAGGAGCAUAGAAAUGGGGACAAGUGAUGAGGAGAGUGUUUUUUUGGAAUCGGCAUUUUGCCAUCGAGGUUAUUAUGGAGUCUGUUGAGGAGAUACCGUUCUUACAAACUGAUUUGGAGAAGUUCUGUGUGCUGAUUGCUAGCGUCACAAGCUGUGGGUGUAAUGGUUUGCUUGUAGAAAGGAUGAUUAGCAAUCCUAUUUGGUUUGGAACAGGUAGUUUGGCUUGUCAAUAUGUGGGGUUCCAUUGGUGUUUCUUUAUUGGACAGGGGCUUGGCGUUUAUGCUUCGGGUGUGUUGUGUUUGGGUAUGUGGAGUGAACUAUACAGACGAUUACAUACGAGGUGGGUGGUUACGGAACGGAGCAAUAGGGGCAGUGAUGCUUUCACAAACAAUGUGAUAAGGCGAUGGGUUUUCCCACUAAGAUACAAGUUUAUAAGAGGUCAGGAAGAUAGGACGAGCGUCCCGGUUGUUACUGGUGUUUGUUGGAAUUUUAGGCUUGACAAUAUUAACUCUAUCGGCUUUGUACUUCCUCAAGUUAAAUUUAUGGACGUUAAGUUGGUCUGUGUAAUGGAUUUAUAUAGAGGUAUAUAUCAGGAACUAGAAUACUUUGUCUAUAAUAAUAUUUUAUAUAUUGUAAUUUGUGUUUGUGUAUCACUUGGUUAUGCGGAAUCAUUGCUUCGCUCAUGUUUAAUGAUAUGUUAUUGGUUAAGGAGAUGUGCUAAUGCAAUUGAUCAGCGAAGGAGAUGGUUUAACCGAGCUGAAUCCGGCUCAUAUACAAUGGUUUUUGGAAAGGGUUUAUCACAAUAUGCAGAGAUUCAGAAUUUUAAUCAAAAUACAAGAUUAAUUCCCUAUGCUUGGUGUACUUGUGGGUGGAAGGUGAUUUUUGUAAAGGUUACAAUUAUCGGAAGGUGGUUUAUUUUAGUUUUUUUAAAUAAUGCAAGGAAAAUAAUUAUGAAGAUAUUGAGUUGGAAUUGUAGAGGAAUGGGGAGUAAAUAUACGAUUAGUUAUCUGAGAGAGAUAUGGUAUAAACAUAAACCUACGUUUCUUUUCUUGUCGGAAACAAAACAACAGUUUAGUUUUGUCCAGAAUUUUCAAUUUCAUUUUGGUUAUAAACAUCUACAUACGGUGGAUCCAAUUGGGAGGAGUGGAGGACUAGCCCUUUAUCAUAACCAUGAUUCACCGGUAACUAUUAUCUAUUCAAGUAAUAGGAUUAUAGACGUUGAAACAAGUUAUAAAGGAAAAACUAUUUUUAUUUCUUUUGUUUAUGGGGAGCAUGUUCAGGAUCUUCGGGACCAAGUUUGGGAACGUCUUAUUCGAAUUGGGAUAAAUAGAUUGGAGCCGUGGUUUAUUAUAGGAGAUCUUAACGAAAUAACAUGUAAUCAUGAGAAGGAAGGGGGAGUGUUGAGACACGCGUCCACCUUUGUAGAUUUUAAUAAUAUGAUUGAUAACUGUAGGCUUUUGGAAUUCCCGUCUUUGGAGAAUACUAUGUCAUGGAGCGGGACGAGGAACAAACAAACGGUACGAUGUAGACUGGAUCGGGCUUUAGGGAAUGUGGAAUGGCACAAUUUAUUUCCGUCCUCCUUUGUAGAGUAUUUGGGAAUGGUGGGAUCAUAGGCCUAUAGUGACGAAUCUAGAUGAAAAGCUUGUAAAGACAAGAAGGCAGUUUAGGUUUGAUAAGAGAUGGAUUGGAAUGGAUGGCCUUAUGGACUCCAUUUCGAAAGGUUGGUCUUCAAAAAGACGAAGACAGAACUCGGGUAUUGUUGACAAAAUUAUCAAUUGUAGACAUGAAAUUUUGGCAUGGAGGAAGAAUAAUCCUCCAUAUGGGAAGGAAAAGAUUAAUUCCCUUCAGAAGGUUUGGAGGAAGUUCAGUGUGAUAAUACUAAGACAUAUGAGGAAGUGUUAGAUGUAUCCAGGAAAUUGCAAAAAGCGUAUAGGGAUGAAGAAUUAUAUUGGGAACAAAAAUGUAGAACGACUUGGCACGCAAAAGGGCGAUCGAAAUACAAAAUUUUACCAUGCUUUGAUUAAACAGAGUAGGAUACAAAAUAAGAUUGUGGGCUUGCAUAAUAGGGACGGUAAUUGGGUUACAUCAGAAUCUGAAGUAGAAGGUGUGGCGAUAGAUUAUUUUAAUGAUUUGUUUGCGACGUCAUCACCUUCGGGCUAUGAGGAAUUUUUAAAGGAGGUACCUACCCUGAUUACGGAGGAUCAAAAUAGAUCUCUAACUUCUUGGGCAUCAGAGGAGGAAGUACGAUCUGCUUUAUUUAUGAUGCAUCCAAAAAAGGCUCCAGGACCAGAUGGAAUGACGGCUUUAUUCUUCCAACAGUCCUGGUCGAUUAUUAAAUCAGACAUCACAUGUAUGGUUAACGAGUUUUUUAGGACUGGAUAUUUGGAUGAGAGGAUAAAUAUGACCAAUAUUUGUCCCAUUCCAAAGACGGUGCGACGGAGUAGAAUGACGGAAUUGCGCCCCAUCAGUCUUUGUAAUGUGGGAUAUAAGAUUAUUUCGAAGGUGCUUUGCCAACGUUUGAAAGGACUAUUGCCACGAUUAGUCUUAGAAACACAAUCAGCUUUUGUCUCUGAGAGAUUAAUUUCAGAUAAUAUUUUGAUUGCGCAAGAGAUGUUUCAUGGAUUAAGGACGAAUAAUUCAUGUAGGAGAAAUUUAUGGCUAUAAAAACAGAUAUGAGCAAGACAUAUGAUAGAGUGGAAUGGCCUUUUAUAGAGGCGAUGCUGCUAAAGCUGGGAUUUGCACAAAGGUGGGUAUCUCGGAAAAUGUCUUGUAUUACAUCGGUACAAUAUAAAGUUAUGAUUAAUGGUCAACCAAAAGGGCAUAUUGUACCAAAUCGAGGUCUUCGUCAGGGUGAUCCGUUAUCACCUUACUUAUUUAUUUUGUGUACUGAGGCACUAAUAGCGAAUAUAAGGAAAAAGGAGGAAGAAAAGUUACUAACGGGGCUAAAAGUUGCAAGUGGUAGUCCGGCGAUUUCACAUCUAUUAUUUGCGGAUGACAGUCUUUUUUUUUCUGUAAAGCGAAUAAGCAAGAAUAUGAAACUAUCCUACAGAUCUUGAAAGACUAUGAAAGAGCGUCGGGGCAACAUAUUAAUUUCCUAAAAUCGUCCUUACAGUUUGGCCACAAGGUUCCAGACGCAGUUCGUCUAGAGGUACAACAUAUUUUGGGGAUCACUACAAUUGGUGGGAGGGGAAUAUAUUUGGGAAUACCUGAGAGUCUUGGGGGAUCUAAAGCACAAAUUUUUGGUUUUUUUAAUGAAAGAGUUAAUAAUAAAGUUAAUAAUUAGACAAUACGAUUCAUUACGAAAGGAGGAAAGGAAGUUUUAAUCAAAGCAGUGGCAUCACCUAUGCCAACUCACGUUAUGUCAUGUUUUCGUUUACCAAAAACGGUUACAAAAAAACUUACGAGUACAGUUUCCCAUUUUUGGUGGAGUGGUAGUGGUAAUACAAAGGGAAUGCAUUGGUUUUCAUGGGAUAAAAUGUGCAAAGAUAAAGUAAAUGGUGGUAUUAGUUUUAGAGAUAUUCAAAAUUUUAAUACGGCGUUAUUAGCGAAACAGCUAUGGAGGUUAAUAGAUAAACCUGAUUCUCUUUUCGCAAGAGUUUUUAAAGGAAGAUACUAUAGGAAAUCUGAUCCUUUGGACCCAAUCAGAUCAUAUUCUCCCUCAUACGGGUAGAGAAGUAUUACAUCAGCUAGAUCUCUGGUUAAUAAAGGGCUAAUCAAAAGAGUGGGAACUGGUUCAAGCAUUUCGGUCUGGAAUGAUCCUUGGAUCCCUACUCCUCGCCCGAGGUCAGCAAUACAAAAAUUUUCGAAUCAAUAUUUAAAUCCAUUACUUAAAGUGGAAGAUUUGAUUAAUCAAGAAGAUCUUUCUUGGAAUCUGAAUUUGCUCAAAGCUUAUAUACAUCAGGAUGAUGUGGAUAUUAUACGGAGUAUAGCUAUUAGUCGUAAUCCAAAACCGGAUUCAUAUGGCUGGCAUUUUACGGACCAUGGUCGAUAUACGGUUAAAUCCGGUUAUCAAACGGAAACAUUAUUUCCGGAUAGUGGAGCUCAUGAUAGUUUUUCGGGACCAAAUACUAAACCACUCUUGGCUCAUUCUUGGAAGCUUCAAUGUUCUCCAAAGCUAAAACAUUUUGUUUGGCAAAUAUUAUAGGGAAGUCUUCCGGUAACUAAGAAUCUUCGUUACCGAGGGAUAAAAUGUGAUAUGCAGUGUCAAGUAUGUGGAGAUGAAGAAGAAUCCAUUAAUCAUGUGUUGUUUGAAUGUCCGUUGGCAUUACAAACUUGGGCUUUAUCUAAUAUUCCCUCAUGUCCGGAGGUUUUCCCCACCCCGUUUCUUUUCACAAAUAUGGACUAUCUUUUCUGGCGGUUACCCAAGGAACCGGACUUGAAUUAUUUUCCAUGGAUACUGUGGUAUAUUUGGAAGAAUCGAAACGCUAAAGUUUUUAGGAAUCAGACAAGAACCCCUUUUGACAUUCUCAGGACUGCGGAGAUAGAAGGUGUUUUAUGGGCUGAAGCUCAGAAAGAUGCGGCUAUAAAUCGUGGACCCCUAGAUGUUAUAGGAGAAGCUCUGCCAAAUGGCAUCGAUAAGUGUUACAUUGAUGGAGCAUGGAAAGAAAAUGAUCUUUACACGAGACAAGGAUGGGUCUACAAGAAAAAUGAAUCCACUGAUACUAUGAUGGGUGCAAUGUCUAUUCGCAGAAGUCUAUCACCUUUAUAUGUUGAAUGUGAAGCUUUGAUAUGGGCGAUGGAGUGUAUGAAGACCCUACAAGUUUCAGAAGUGAUGUUUGCAACUGACUGCUCUCAAUUGGUGAAAAUAGUGUCCACACCAACAGAAUGGUCGGCGUUCACUACACAUAUGGAGGAGUUUCUGCGAUGUAAGGAAUUCUUUCUCAACUUUACUAUCCAACAUAUCCCAAGGGCGCAAAACACUCUGGCGGACAAGCUGGCACGAGGUGUUAGGACUUCGCCAGCUGCUAUGGUUUAUGUUGAUUCAGUUCUCCCGAAAUGGUUCUCGGACCAGAGAUUUUUUUAGUUCCUUAGCCUUUUGCUGUAAAAAAAAAAUAAAAUUAUGUUUUGUGGAAAGAGGAAGAGUCAGUAGUUUUUUACCUUACUAUGGCACGGUGAGAGAUCUCAAUUAUGAGAAACAAGUGAAAUUUUAUUUUUCUUGUCAUUAUGGACAGAGGAAGAGUCAGUAGUUUUUUACCUUACUAUGGCACGGUGAGAGAUCUCAAUUAUGAGAAACAAGUGAAAUUUUAUUUUUCUUGUCAUUAUGGAUAGAGGAAGAGUUAGUAGUUUUACUUUAUUAUGGAAUUUUACUUUAUUAUGGAACGGUGAGAGCUCUCAAUUGUGAGAAACAAGUGAAAUUUUAUUUUUCUUGUCAUUAUGGACAGAGGAAGAGCAAGCCACCCGAUCCUAUUCAAAGUAAAAGCUUGUUUCUUUGCACGAGUAGUAACUAUGAUACGAGAGUACUUGGUGGUGAUUAUACUUAUGUUAGCUGCAAGAUACAUGAAAAAGUGGAGGUGAGUCAUGCAUUUGACAUGACGUCUUGUGAUUGUUUCGGUUACUUGCGAGUUGAGUCAGAACAUCAGAAGAUGGCUACGGUUCAGCCGGUGCUGUGAGCUGUUGGAGCAUAAAGAGAUUACACAUGAUUUAUCAAGAUCACAAUGCAUGGGAGACGGUGUCUCACUAAUUAUUCUGUCAGUGUUUGUGCAAUCUUCUGCCAAACUUGCAAUUAAAUAUGAAAGUCAUAUUAUUAUUAUUAUUAUUAUUAUUAUUAUUAUUAUUAUUAUUAUUUUAAAGAAGACGGUCAUAUUAAAAGAGCAAUUAUCUAUCACUCUUAAAGACUCACUCCUCUCUAAUCACCAACCUUCCAACCUCCAUAUCUUCCACAUUGCUGAAGCUUAUGACGCCAUCCGUCGUUUUUGGCUCCCUAGCCCUUUCCGUCGCUGUUAGCUCCCUAGCCCUUUCCGCCUCCAAUGGCCAAUUAAUCCUACACAUCGCCACCAUCAUACCAAUCAUACAUGAUAUCUGCGCUACGAGCAUUCCGAGCCAAAGUCCCAUGAAUCCAAACCCAAACCAAAAAGUUAAAACCAUUACUACAGGCAAACCAAUCACAUAAAAUGCCGCUAUAUUGAUAUUAGCUCCCGUCAUCGGCCUCGCCGACCCUCUGAGAACGCCGCAUCCAGUAGUCUGAGGGCAGUUUCCCAGCUCGCAAAGGCCAACGACUGGUAGAACCAUCAUAGUCAAAUUAAUGACUUCUUCAUCAUCCGUGAAAAACGUAGCCCAUACCUUUCUGACUGAGAAAGUGAAUAUGAGAGCCAUGAGCCCGAGGGCGAUGCUGAGACCAAGUCCGACAAAGGUGGCUCUUCUCGCUCUCUGUGGCUGGUUCGAACCCAGCUCGUUUCCUACACGAGUCGAGACUGCGGAGCCCAAUGAAUGAGGGAAAAUAUAAACAAGGGAAGUGAUUUGGAUGAUUAUACCCAUUGAAGAAACAGAUACUUUAGGGUUUAUAAGUAACCCACAAAGCACAAUCAUGAUCUCGUAGCACCACCACUCGAGACAAACUGCAACACAACUGGGUACCGCGAGACCAAGCAGCUUCUUCCAUUCUCUCACACUCUGUUCAUACGACUCCUCUGAGACCUUCUCAUCUUUACUUAGCUUUUCUUCGAAGAAAGCUAUGUAGAUGAAGAGAAAUACGACAAGGUUGAAAUUUGACAGAGCACCACUCAAAGCAAUACCUUUGAUCUCAAAACCGAGGUAUGACACUAGGAGGAAUGUAACCGGAAAGUGGAGAACACUCGCAAUCCCUGUGCAUACGGAUAAAGGUAUAGUCUUUGACUGUGUCCUGAAAUAAGCUCUUAAUGGGUGUAAGAAAGAUUGAGCAAGGAGAUCUGGAACAGAGUAAAGCAGAAAGGUGUGAGCUAUGGAUGCGAGCUCCUCGUCCUGUUUUAACAAUUUCAGAAUCCUCUUGAUGUUUAUCCAUAGAAGAAAAACAGGGAGAGUUGUGACGCAAGCCACCCGAUCCUAUUCAAAGUAAAAGCUUGUUUCUUUGCACGAGUAGUAACUAUGAUACGAGAGUACUUGGUGGUGAUUAUACUUAUGUUAGCUGCAAGAUACAUGAAAAAGUGGAGGUGAGUCAUGCAUUUGACAUGACGUCUUGUGAUUGUUUCGGUUACUUGCGAGUUGAGUCAGAACAUCAGAAGAUGGCUACGGUUCAGCCGGUGCUGUGAGCUGUUGGAGCAUAAAGAGAUUACACAUGAUUUAUCAAGAUCACAAUGCAUGGGAGACGGUGUCUCACUAAUUAUUCUGUCAGUGUUUGUGCAAUCUUCUGCCAAACUUGCAAUUAAAUAUGAAAGUCAUAUUAUUAUUAUUAUUAUUAUUAUUAUUAUUAUUAUUAUUAUUAUUUUAAAGAAGACGGUCAUAUUAAAAGAGCAAUUAUCUAUCACUCUUAAAGACUCACUCCUCUCUAAUCACCAACCUUCCAACCUCCAUAUCUUCCACAUUGCUGAAGCUUAUGACGCCAUCCGUCGUUUUUGGCUCCCUAGCCCUUUCCGUCGCUGUUAGCUCCCUAGCCCUUUCCGCCUCCAAUGGCCAAUUAAUCCUACACAUCGACACCAUCAUACCAAUCAUACAUGAUAUCUGCGCCACGAGCAUCCCAAGCCAAAGUCCCAUGAAUCCAAACCCAAACCAAAAAGUUAAAACCAUUCCUACAGGCAAACCAAUCACAUAAAAUGCCGCUAUAUUGAUAUUAGCUCCCGUCAUCGGCCUCGCCGACCCUCUGAGAACGCCGCAUCCAGUAGUCUGAGGGCAGUUUCCCAGCUCGCAAAGGCCAACGACUGGUAGAACCAUCAUAGUCAAAUUAAUGACUUCUUCAUCAUCCGUGAAAAACGUAGCCCAUACCUUUCUGACUGAGAAAGUGAAUAUGAGAGCCAUGAGCCCGAGGGCGAUGCUGAGACCAAGUCCGACAAAGGUGGCUCUUCUCGCUCUCUGUGGCUGGUUCGAACCCAGCUCGUUUCCUACACGAGUCGAGACUGCGGAGCCCAAUGAAUGAGGGAAAAUAUAAACAAGGGAAGUGAUUUGGAUGAGAAUACCCAUUGAAGAAACGGAUACUUUAGGGUUUAUAAGUAACCCACAAAGCACAAUCAUGAUCUCGUAGCACCACCACUCGAGACAAACUGCAACACAACUGGGUACCGCGAGACCAAGCAGCUUCUUCCAUUCUCUCACACUCUGUUCAUACGACUCCUCUGAGACCUUCUCAUCUUUACUUAGCUUUUCUUCGAAGAAAGCUAUGUAGAUGAAGAGAAAUACGACAAGGUUGAAAUUUGACAGAGCACCACUCAAAGCAAUACCUUUGAUCUCAAAACCGAGGUAUGACACUAGGAGGAAUGUAACCGGAAAGUGGAGAACACUCGCAAUCCCUGUGCAUACUGAUAAAGGUAGAGUCUUUGACUGUGUCCUGAAAUAAGCUCUUAAUGGGUGUAAGAAAGAUUGAGCAAGGAGAUCUGGAACAGAGUAAAGCAGAAAGGUGUGAGCUAUGGAUGCGAGCUCCUCGUCCUGUUUUAACAAUUUCAGAAUCCUCUUGAUGUUUAUCCAUAGAAGAAAAACAGGGAGAGUUGUGACGAGGAGUAGGAUGAUUCCUCGACGGAUUGUUGCCCGGAAGAGUUUAUAGUUUGUUGCACCAAUUGCUUGUGAGCAAAUUGAGUCUACACCAAUGGUUAAACCGGAGAAGAACGAGUAAGCGGUGAUGUUGGCAAAUGCAAGUGCGAGUUCCUGGAUUCGCUAGAAAGCGACUCACAACUCCUACAACAUAGGUAAUGUCAGAAUAGAUAUGAAGGAGCGAAAGUAAAGGAGAACAUUUGUGAUGAUCAAUGGGUAAGUGAUUCUUAAAAUGGAGAUUGCAUCUAUUGCAAAGAGGGAGAGAAGCGCAAAUAAAUUUUUAAGUAAAUGUAGUUUCUCGUGAAGAGAGAUAUUUGGGAGAAAUGGUACUGUAACUUCAUCGUUGAAACGAUUUGAUUGAGACAUUCUUUGUCUUUUAUGUUAGAUAGAAGCAGGAGGGGAUGAAGAAGUAUGGUUAAGCAUUGGCUUUAUAUAGUGAAAUUAGUCAUUGGAAGUUAUAACAUUAUUUUUUUCCAAAUUUGGUCAUAUAUUUUCCUUACUUUUAAUUAACAAUUAUCAUAAAAUCAAUAUAUACAACUGUGUAUAUAUAUACGUGUUGACUAUAUAAUAAAGUUGUACACGCGCUUUCGAUUCUCUUUCAAUUCAUAAUGACAUGUGGUAAACAUUCAUACGAAUAGUAGAUUUUCAUCUCUAAGUUUUAAUUUUUUAAGGAUAUACUUUCUUUCUUUGCUUCUAAUUUUCUCCUCUCGGUUGGACCUCAUACAAUGUAUGUUGUUUGAUUUCGUAUACACGUGUCAUUAACAAGAUUCGAAUCCAAUAUACAAAAUUUUAUGUGGCUUGAAUGAAUACAAUGAAAUGUGGGUCCUUUUUCAAAGAUAUAGUAGAUUUUUAUAUAUAAAUGCUAAAUAUUUUGAGGACAUAAUCUUAAUUUUUUUUCAUCUUCGAUUUUUAUUUAUCCAAUAUAUUCUACUUAAAUAUGUAAACACAUGUAACUACUUGUAAAAGGGACCAUUUGUGAUGACCAAUGGGAAAGAGAUUCUUGCGAUUAAGAUUACUUUAUUUGUGAAAAAGGAGAGAAGAGGAAAAUAAUUUUUAAGUAAAUUUAGUUUCUCAUGAAGAAAGAAUCUUGGAAGAAAGAUUAUUGUAACUUCGUCUUUGACAUGAUUUAUUUGAGAUAUUUUUUCUUUUUUUAAUGUUAGAUAAGUACGAGAAAAAGGAUUUUUGGGUGUGAAGAAGCUUAGUUAAUUAUAGAAGGAUUUAAUAUAUAAAUCCAAUCUGAUAUAGGCCCAAUCGCAAUGGGCUAAAUUUACAGUUUCCACUUGAUCAUCUACAAAGCCUAGCUAUUCUUACCUAAAAAGGGUACUUCACAGCUAGAGGUAGCGAGCUCCAGGUCUAAUAAAUAAUAACUAAGAUCCGCGGUCAAACGGUUACACAACAUACCAAGAUCUUUGGCGCAAGACACGUCACAUGCACCUUAGAUACACGGAGUAGUUGGAGUGAUCCAAAGGAUUCAUCUCUUAUAAUAACAAAGUCUAGUAUUAAGCUCUAAUUUCAGGCCUUCCCUGGCAAUCGGGAUCGGGGUUCUUGAAAUUUAAGAAGGUGUAAUUCGUACAGGGCCAAAGAGUUUAUUCUAGGACUUAGGCCAAUUAUGCAUGUGUUUUGGUAUUGGGGCUACAUAUAUAGUAUAAAAAGAGGUGCAAUUUAGGUUUUAUCAUACAAUUAGUGUUUCGUAUAAUCCUUCCUUUAGCCUUAUGAAAAUUGUUUUCAUAUAACUUUGUUUCAGUCACAAAAGCUGUUCUGAAAGGCUUCAGUUGAACUUAGCUAAAGUCAUCCCCUAGGAAGAUGAAGCCUAAGAGGCUCGACGCCGAAUUUAUUGGAAACAAGUUACAUGAUAGUGAUUUGCUUGGUCGUAAUAGAGAGAACCGUGAGCCCUACUCUUCUCUCAUGAGUGAAUCCAAUUGCGGAGAAAUGUGGAACAAGGCAAUGACAAAUGAUGGUCCCAUCAGCUUGAGUGAGAUUGAGCUACUAAUCAAAGCUGCAAAAGCCAUCAUCUCCUCUAAGAAGUAAGGUUCUCAUUCUCUUAUCUAUAAGUCAAUUACAGUAGAUUCAGAGGGUAGUCAUCACAUGAUUAGUGACAAGAAUCUAAUUAAUGAUGUUACACUUGUUCUUGGGAAUGUUAUAAUCAAAUGGAUAAAAGGUGAAGAACGAAGGAAUUGAGAAUCUUAGGCUUGCAUCCAAACUAUUCUUUGUGAGGAAAGCCAUGGUUGACCUGAAUUGUCAGGUGUUGGGGUCAAAAUCGGUCACGACGGAAUCAAUAUCCGAAAGUCCGUAAAAAUCGGCAUGAACGUUUUUACGAAAUGUAAUCUUCGUAAAGAAAUCUUUACGAAGAGCCUUGCGGUAAAAUUGUGUUCAAAUCUCAAUCGAACCACUUAAUACUGAUUGUCCGAAGGUAACAGACAUGUAUCCAAAUCAGCCACAAACGAGCUCGAGUAUGGCGAUCGGACCACAGACAAGCCAAGCACGAUCACUACGCAACGACCAAGCAUGCACACGUAGCGACCGAGCAUGCGUACCACUCGGUCGCUACGUAGCGGCCGAGCACGAGUACCGCUCGGUCGCUGUUGGGGUCGAAAACGGUUACGACAAAGUUAAUGUCCAAACCUCCGCAAAAAUGAGUGUGAGUAUCAUUCUGCGACAAUUAUGCUUCGUAAAGAAUGUCACAACAAAGGAUCUCGCGUUAAAACCUUGUUCGAGUCUCGGUUGGAUCAGACACCGGCUGUCCCAAGGUAACGGAUACGUAUCUAAAACAGCCACGGAUAAGUUCGAGUAUGACGAUCGGAACACGGACAAGCCAAGCACGGUCGCUACGCAGCAACCAAGCAUGCACACUGCUCGGUCGCUACGUAGCGACCGAGCUCGAGCCAAGCACGCACACGGCUCGGUUGCUACGUAGCGACCGAGCACGCACACAACUCGGUCGCUACGUAGCGACCGAGCUCCAGCCAAGCUCGGUCUCUACGCAGCGACCAAGCAAGUACACGGCUCGGUCGUUACAUAGCGACCGAGCAUGCACACAGCUCGGUCGCUACGUAGCGACCGAGCUCAAGCCAACUCUCCACUCGCUACAUAGCAACCUUUCAGGCCUCAGAAAUUUCCUACUUUGCGUUCUAUUUUGAAUCCUCAUCGAAACGCUUUUCGUUUCGUCUCAAUCGAAGUUUUCGUUGAGAUUUUACGACGAAAACAAGUAGGACUCUUCUGGGCUUGCUUCUACUCGCUACGUAGCGACCUGUUAGACCUCCACUCGCUACAUAGCGACCUGUAAGGCCUCAGAAAGUUCCUACUCUGCGUUCUUUUUUGAACUCUCAUCGAAACGCUUUUCGUCUCGUCUCAAUCGGAGUUUCCGUUGAGAUUUUACGACGAAAACAAGUAGGACUCUUCUUGGUUUGCUUCUACUCGCUACGUAGCUACCUGUCAGACCUCCACUCGCUACAUAGCGACCUGUCAGGCCUCAGAAAAGUCCUCCUUUACGUUCUCAUUUGAGUCCUCAUCAAAACGCUUUUCGUUUCAUCUCAGUCGGAGUUUCCGUUGAGAUUUUACGACGAAAACAAAUUAGACUCGUCUAAACUCCUUGGCUUGCUCGCCCUUACCUCCAUCUUUGCGUUCUCCUUCGAGUCUCGAUCGAAACAUCUCUUAUGUCGUCUCGAUUGGAGUUACCAUUGAAGUUUACGAUAAAAAACCCGCAAAGACUUGUUUUCUCGCAUGGAUUCAAAUUAAUCGUAUAAAACGGUAACGGUUAACUUAACACCUUAGCCGCCUCAACUAUACGAUUACGUUGAACCUUUUUAUAAAAAUUGAUGUCGUAUCUAAGGAGAAGAUAACAGUCAAGUUCGGAAGAUAAAUGUCAAGUUUCAAAGGAUAAAUACCAAUAUCAAAAAUAGCGAACAUACACGAGAAGAGAAAGGGGAAAUAAGCAAGCAAAACUGAGAAGAGACAAAACUGCAUCUUCGAAAGAACUAAGGUAUUUCCGACUUGAAAUUUUUGAAAUCAGACUAAGAAUUUUUGUAGGAAUUACUAAGAAAUAAAAACACCUUUGAGACUGCCAUAAAACUUUAUGGAACGUAAAACCUAGGUGGAUAGUCUAGCGAACUAAGUCUUAGGCGAUUUUUCCGGUCUCGAUAUAUAGUUCCAUAACUGUUCAACCAGAUCUUGCAAACCGAUCUAAACUCUCUGAAAAUUGAGAAACGAUCGCCACGCAUAUCAAUCUCGCUUCCUAAAGAGAGAAAAAAUUAGAGACAUGAACAUCGUCUUAAAACCGAUUCGUUUCUAACAAUUUUCUCGGAACCGACAUAUUCCAAGUCGUGAACGUGGAAAUAACCAAAUCACAGUCCAAGCGUCGUCUUCAAAUCGUCUCGGAUUAUUGAUCAUUCCAAACCUCAGAAGAAGAAACGUACACAGCCCUUCAAAGUAUCGGUUCAACCGUUUUCUUUCAUAAAAAAAAGGGAGUAGGUACGUAUACUAUACUCGUAUACUCCCAAAUGGGCAAACGACGAUCUAAAAUUCGUUUAAACGCUAGCAACAUAUCCAGACGAUCAUGAACAUAAUCUCAAAGACUAUACAUCAUUUCUUGUCGCAAUCAUGCGUACAGAAAAUCUGUCCUAAUAUCAAACUGAAAUUCGACGAUUAGCCAAAGUAUUGAAACCCUUUCCGGCUUUAGAAAGCCAGUUUUGUUUAAAAAUUUCUACGAGAAAUCUUCAAUCACAAAAGCAUUUCUUUCAGUUUCCGUUGUACCAAGUGAGUCACGGAAAAGUAUCGAAAACAUUUGCGACGAAGAAAACUCGAGAAUAGAUGUAGCAUCGUGCACAUUAAAAGGAACAAUUUCCUCCCGAUGGUUAGCUAGAUCCACCUCUGGUUGAUGAUACACUAAAUAUGAAUCCUUGCUACUGCCAAGUUAACAGUUGUGAUUAUAGUACUUUAGAUUCAAUCCAGAGGACCAGUCUACACUUUACUCUUAUAAAUUUCAAUAUCAAGCUAAGAAGAAAAUGGUUUUUAAUUCAAUUGGUGACGCGGAAAACAAGUAAACUAGAGAUUGAUUCAAUUUAACAAGAAGCUAGCCUAGGGUAUUUCAUUGGAUGUUGAGCGAGAGCCAAACAAUUAUUCAAGCGCGGUGCAGUGCUUUCUAGAACUCGGAUCACUCAGCUGGAACACCCCACUGUCGUGGUGGUGAUCUCUUUGCUGGUCGGUCCCAUCAUCUAACUGUCGUUGAGAUGAGAAACGACUGCAAGCCUUAGAGGUCAGGUCCGAUCAGUUCACUUACUACCCUAAUAUCUACUUUCGCUGAUUAGGGAUACAAUGCUCAUUCAAGUUAUGUCUAGCAACCUAUAACACUUUUGAUGAAUAGAUUAAACCUAGAAUCAGGCACUAAGUUCCCAAAAAUAGAAGCUUCCUUAUUUGUCGGGAACAACCUCGGGAUCACUCCGUCUGCUUGUUCUGCUUGAGAACAGUCUCGGGACUGUUCGUCUGGAGUGUUCUCCGCAAAAUGCUCCAAAAGGACAGCUUCUCUUCAAACACCCUCUUUUCACUCUUCUACCACCUCCAGACCUGUAAAAGAUCAAAAAGGACUAGACUGACUCAGAUUAAGGACUCGAAUCAAUACAAAAACUCCUAUACAAUGAUGUGAAAAACACCAUAUAUCAAUUCCCCCAGACUUAGAUCCUUGUUUGUCCUCGAACAAAGCAAGUAUCAAGAACAGGAGAAAAGUUUGAAAGUGUGGGAACUCGCUUAUUCUCAGCAACCAUACUCUUACCACAAAUCUCUGAACCAUACAAGCAGUUGAUUAGAACCACACACACUUACUGGAAACCCCUGAUCGCUGUUCACAGAUCGGCUCCUUACUCUACAUCUUGACCUGAAAAAGCGACACUUUCGAGACCAAACUCCAUUUGUUCAAUUAGAAUUUUCGUGAGCUUCUUGUCAUGGGCGCUACUCAGGGUGGACGGUCUAGGUAUGGAACAAGCUUUUUAAUGGUGGAGUUGAGAGUGUUUAGGGGUUACCGAUUUCUUAGAGGAUGCAGGAUAUCGCACAAAAUGGCAAGAGAGAACGGAUCCAUUGAUGUCCACAGCCUCUACUCGU